This 75718-nucleotide long non-coding RNA is filed under the name Nicotiana benthamiana. RNAcentral describes it as "long non-coding RNA (NBEN_LNC010379)". The record is from RNAcentral. Lineage: Eukaryota; Viridiplantae; Streptophyta; Magnoliopsida; Solanales; Solanaceae.
UGGCAAUCAGGUGCCCACCUGGAGAACAAUGGAAUACAAUUUAAUUUUUUAGAAAUCAGGCGCCCACCUGGAGAACAAGGAAUACAGUUCAAGUUUUUGGCAAUCACGCGCUCACCUGAAGAACAAGGGAAUAUAGUUCAAGUUCUUGGCAGUCAGGCGCCCACCUGGAGAACAAGGGAAUACUAUUCAAAUUUUUGGAAAUCAGGUUCCCACAUGGAGAAUAAGAAAAUACAGUUCAAGUUUUUGGCAAUCAAGCUCCCACCUGGAGAACAAGGGAAUACAGUUCAAGUUUUUGGCAAUCAGGUGUCCACUUGGAGAACAACAAGGGAAUACUAUUCAAAUUUUUGGAAAUCAGGUUCCCACAUGGAGAAUAAGAGAAUACAGUUCAAGUUUUUGGCAAUCAAGCUCCCACCUGGAGAACAAGGGAAUACAGUUCAAGUUUUUGGCAAUCAGGUGCUCACCUGGAGAACAAGGGAAUAUAACUCAAUUUUCGAAAAUCAGGCGUCCACCUUGAAAAUAAGGGAAUACAGUUCAAGUUUUUGGAAAUCAAGCGCCCACCUGGAGAAUAAGGGAAUAUAGUUCAAGUUUAGGUAAUCAGGAGCUCAUCUGGAGAACAAAGAAAUUUAAGUGUCGGUAAUCAGGAGCUCACUUGAAGAAUAAAGCAGCAGUUCAAUUUUCGAGGAAAAGCAACAGAUGUGUUGGUAAUUAGGAGCCCACCUGAAUAACGAGGGGAAAUCAUCAAUGUUCGGAGGAAGACGGUUCAAGUUCAGCAAUCAGGCGCCCACCUGAAGAAAAGGGAAAGCAUCUCAGAUUAUAAUUCAAGUUGGCAACAAAGGAACUUCACCUGGAAAAUACAAAACAACAAGGCAACAGGAAUCACAAGACUAAGUUUGAGGAUGUAGAUAGGAUUUUUGUAAUGCAUAGACUGGAGUUUAGUCUAAUGUGUAAUAAGGAGUUCAGUAAGCAGUAGUAGCAGCAGCAGCAACAAUGAAAUCAUAGCUUUAUGGUAGUCCCAGCUACCGAAACUUCCCCAUAACUUGAUUUCGUUAUAGCCAAGGAUAUGUAGGCAACCUCGGGAACAAGGUGCAGUCAAAUAUUUCAAAACUACUUUCCAUGGAGUAUUCAAACAAGCAAAAAUCGCUCGUAUCUGCUCACUUUAUCUUUGCACGAAAACUCUUCGUAUUUUCACGCAAAGAGGGGAAGCUGUGAGCACAUGAUUGUUGCCCUAUAUGAAUUAUUCCCACAAAUUUAAAAUAAAAUAAUUAUUCCAUUGUUUGCAAAUUCGAGGAUUUUUGUAGCAUAUUUUAUUAUUGUUUUCAUUUGUUAUUGCAUGUUUAUUUUAUUUAUUAAAUAAAAAUACAAAAAUUUGUUGCAUUUGCAUUUAGAAUUUAAUUCAACAUUUUGGGAUUAAUGUCACGACCCGAAUUUGCCCACCAUGGGGAGUCGUGAUGGCGCCUACUAUCGAAGCUAGGCAAGCCAACCCUUAUAAACAUUUCCAGAAAAUUUAAAUCUAAAACAAAUUAAAUGAAAAAAUAAUUAGUUAAAACAUGCGGAAGACGUCUAAUAACAAUAACGAAAACAAUAUGCGGAAAACUAACAACCAAUCUCUACCCAAUAUCUGGUGUCAUUGCUUACGGACUACUAAUAGAGUACUAAAAACAAUAGUCUGAUCCAGUAUCUGGUGUCACUGCUCACGGACAACUAAAGAGUGCUAAAAAUAAUAGUAUGAAAGAAGUACAUAGCUUGUCUUUUUGAUACGAUUUAACAAACUGAAAGGGAAAGUUAGAGAAGACUCAGGGCCCGCGAACGCCUGCGAGCUACCUCAGAGCCUCUUGAAUGAAGGAUCACUCCUGUUCUAAAGCUGCGGUCCGUAGACUAGGUCCUGACAAGUGCACAAAAAGGCACAGAAGCAUAGUAUCAGCACAACCGACCCCAUGUGCUGGUAAGUGUCCNNNNNNNNNNNNNNNNNNNNNNNNNNNNNNNNNNNNNNNNNNNNNNNNNNNNNNNNNNNNNNNNNNNNNNNNNNNNNNNNNNNNNNNNNNNNNNNNNNNNNNNNNNNNNNAUAUACCACUCCAUCUUGUGGAGGAAAUCAAUAAAUACCACUCCAUCUUGUGGAGGAAAUCGAUAUAUACCACUCCAUCUUGUGGAGGAAAUAAAUAAAUACCACUCCAUCUUGUGGAGGAAAUCCAUAGAUACCACUCCAUCUUGCGUAGGAAAUCAAUAUAUACCGCUCCAUCUUGUGGAGGAAAUCAAUAAGUACAUGGCAUCACCCAUCGUGCUUUAUCGCUCCUCCUCACCCAAACAAUAAUCACAAUUAAUGGGAAACUGGUGGAGGAAAUCAAUGUAUACCACUCCAUCUUGUGAAGGAAAUCAAUAAGUACACAGCUUUACCCAUCGUGCUUUAUCGCUCCUCCUCACCCAAACAAUAAUCACAAAUAAUGGGAAAAUGAGUAAACAACAAGAUUAACCAUCCUGGCAAGGGAGAACAAUGCAACAACAACUCCCGGCAAGGGAAACAAUUUAACAACAAGUCACGGCAAGGGAAACGGUUUAACAACAAGUACCGGCAAGAGAAACAAUAUAACAACAAGUCCCGGCAAACGAAAAACGCCAACAACUCAUCUCUAGUUCAUUUACUUUUCAUCUUUCACUUCAUAUCCCAAUUUUUCAAUUCUUUCAAAAUUCUAAUAACAAAUGACAACACGGUUAUGCUCGACUCGGGCGCAUAGGUAACCGUCACCAUACCUAUACACCGACUCCACAUAGCACAUAGCAAUUAACACCUAAUCCUAUUCCCUCAAGCCAACGUUAGAUCAAACACUUACCUCGAAGGCUUCCAACUCUACUCACGCCUCUAGAAUAGCUUUACCCCUCGAAUUCGCUUCAAAACAGGUCCAAUCUAACUCCAAUUUACUAAAAUGUAUCAUCAAAUGCUAGUUAAGUCAAUUUGGAUGCAUAAGAAUGAAAUUCCCAAAGUUUUACUCAAAAAUUCCCAAAAUGCCCCCGGUCCCAUGUGGUCAAAACUCGAGAUUCGAACCAAACCGGGUUACCCAUUCCCCCACGAGUUCAUAUAUGCAAACCCCAAAUUGAGGUCCAAAUCCCCAAUUUUAUGAAAACCUAGGUUCUACCCCAAAUUCCCCAUUUUUAACCAUGAAAGCUUUGAUUUAAGGAUGAAAUCAUGUUAGAAUACGAUAAAGAUUGAAGAAAACUAGUAACAAUUGACCUACAUUUGGUUUGGGGACGAAACAGUUCGAGAGGAAUCGCCUAUGGUGGUUUAGGUUUUGGAAAGAUAUGAAAAAUGAGGUCUGAAUUCGUUUAACAGUUGUAGGGUUGCAGAUAUCGCAAAUGCGACAUUGAUUUCGCAUUUGCGAACUGGGCAAAAGAAAAGGGGACCUCGCAAUUGCGAGAAAUAGUUUGCAAUUGCGAACUGGGAAAAAUUGAAAGGGAACUCACAUUUGUGAGAAAACGUUCGCAAAUGCGAACUGGGAAAAAUAAAAGGGGACCUCGCAAUUACGAGAAGAAGUUCGCAAUUGCGAAUUGGGGAAAAUUGAAAGGGAACUCGCAUUUGCGAGAAAACGUUCGCAAAUGCAAACUGGGGUUGGACUAGGGAAAACUUGCAUUUGCGAAGACUGGCUAAGGAAGGGGGGAAUCACAUUUGCAAUUUUUUAUUCUCGAAUUUGCGAAGAAGCAAGCCAAGGGAAGAGCUCGCAAUUGCGAGGCGGGCUUCGCAAUUGCGAAACCUGCAGACACCAGAUGAUAAAAAUGCAACAAAAUGAGCCUAACACAUAUCCGAAACUCACCCGAGCCCUCGGGGCUCCAACCCAAACAUGCACCCAGCCUAAAAACAUCCUACUGACUUACUCGUGUGAUCAAAUCGCCAAAAUAACAUCUAAAUCAUAGAAUCAACCUCCAAAACUCAUGAUUUUCAUUUCAAGUUCAAAACUUUCAAACUUUUCCACUUUUAGUCCAAAACAUGUCAAACAACGUUCGUUUUCAACCAAACAUUACAGAUAGCGCUUAACACCCAUUUAAUAUUUGUACCGGGUGUCGGAAACAAAAAUACGAGCAUGAUACCAUAACUUUUGAUCAAUUUCCGUUUCCAGUUUUCCUUAAGCAUUUUCAAAAAUAAUUUCACCAAAAAGCUCUAUUCUCGGGCGUGGGACCUCGGAUUUAGAUUCCAGGAGACUGGCUCCCAAUUUUCAUUACGGACCCUCCUGGACCGUCACAUCACAGGUCCGGGUCCGUUUACCCAAAACAUUGACCAAAGUCAAUCAUAGCAAUAUUAGUAUCAAAAUUCAUAGUUUUUAACAUAGAGUUCAAAUAUUUUUACAUAAAAAUCUUCUGGCUUCGUGCCCGGACUGCGCAUGCUAAUCGAUGCAACCAAAUAAGAGGUUUUCAAGGCCAGAAAAGUGCAAGGAAAGGGAGAAAUACGGGGAUGACGCUUUGGGUCGUCACAUCCUCCGCCUCUAAAACAAUCAUUCGUCCUCGAACGAACAAAAGAAAGGAGUACCUGAGUCGGGGAAUAGAUGGGGAUAACGGCUCCGCAUAUCAUACUCGCACUCCCAGGUGGAUGCCUCGGGAAGGAAAACACCGCGACCUCAACUGUUGAACCUGCUGGUCUAAAAUAGCCACCAGCUCCUCCUCAUAUGACAGAUCCUUAUCCAAUUGGACAGUGCUGAAAUCUAACAUGUGGGUGGGAUCACCGUGAUAUCUCCGAAGCAUGGAUACAUGGAAAACCAGAUGUACAGCUGACAAGCUAGGCGGCAAGGCAAGUCUGUAAUCCACCUCUCCCACAUGAUCAAGAACCUCAAACGGGCCAAUAUACCUAGGGCUAAGCUUGCCCUUCUUCCUGAAUCUCAUCACGCCUUUCAUAGGCGAUACACGGAGCAAUACACGCUCACCAACCAUGAAGGCAACAUCCUUGACCUUACGGUCUGCAACACACUGCAUGGCUGACAAGCUGGGCGGCAAGUCAAGUCAGUAAGCUACCUCCCCCACACGGUCAAGAAUCUCAAACGGGCCAAUAUACCUAGGGCUAAGCUUGCCCUUCUUCCCNNNNNNNNNNNNNNNNNNNNNNNNNNNNNNNNNNNNNNNNNNNNNNNNNNNNNNNNNNNNCCUAGGGCUAAGCUUGCCCUUCUUCCCGAAUCUCAUCACGCCUUUCAUAGGCGAUACACGGAGCAAUACACGCUCACCAACCAUGAAGGCAACAUCCUUGACCUUACCGUCUGCAACACUCUUAUGCCUGGACUGAGCUGACUGAAGUUUGUCCUGAAUGAUCUUGACCUUAUCCAAGGCCUCCUGUACCAAAUCUGUACCCAAUUACCGAUCCUCUCCCGGCUAAAACCAUCCGACUGGGGACCGACGUCGCCUACCAUACAACGCCUCAUACGGGGCCAUCUGAAUACUAGACUGGUAGAUGUUGUUGUAGGCAAACUUCGCAAACAGCAAGAACUAGUCCCACGAGCCUCCAAAAUCAAUAACGCAGGCUCGGAGAAUAUCCUCAAGAAUCUGAAUGGUCCACUCGGACUGACCGUCCAUCUGGGGUGAAAUGAUGUACUCAAAUGGACCUGGGUACCCAACUCAUGUUGCACCGCUCCCCAGAAAUGCGAAGUAAACUGCGGACCCCGAUCCGAAAUAAUAGAUAUGGGCACCCCAUGAAAGCGAACGAUCUCCCUGAUAUAAAUCUCUGCAUACCUCUCGUAUGAAUAGGUGGUGGCAACUAGGAUGAAAUGCGCUGACUUAGUCAGCCUACCAACAAUAACCCACACAAGAAUAAGUGGUAGCAACCGGGAUGAAAUGCGCUGACUUAGUCAGCCUAUCAACAAUAACCCAUAUAGCAUCAAACUUCUUCCUAGUCAUCGGAAAGCCAGUAACAAAAUCCAUAGUGAUCCUCUCCCACUUCCACUCAAGAAGCUCAAUCCUCUGAAAUAACCCACCAGGCCUCUGAUGCUUGCACUUAACAUGCUGACAAUUUCGACAACGAGCCACAUAUUCAACAAUGUAUUUCUUCAUUCUACGCCACCAACAAUGUUGUUUCAAAUCCUGAUACAUCUUCUCGGCGCUCGGAUGAAUAAAAUAUUGAGAGCUGUGGGCAUCCGCUAAGAUCGACCCUCGGUACCAUCAACAUUGGGCACACAAACUCGCCCCUGCAACCUCAAUAUGCCACCAUAUCCAAAGUCAUCUCCUUGGCACCUCCCCUCUGCACCGUGUCUCUCAGGACACAUAAAUGGGGAUCAUCAAAUUGCCGCUCCCGGAUAUGCUCCAUCAAUGACGAACGAUCAACCGUGAAAGCUAACACUCUGCUGGGCCCGGAUGAAUAGAAUAUUGAGAGCUGUGGGCUUCCUCUAAGAUCGACCCUCGAAUACCAUCAACAUUGGGCACAAAAACUCGCCCCUGCAACCUCAAUAUGCCACCAUAUCCAAAGUCAUCUCCUUGGCACCUCCCCUCUGCACCGUGUCUCUCAGGACACAUAAAUGGGGAUCAUCAAAUUGCCGCUCCCGGAUAUGCUCCAUCAAUGACGAACGAUCAACCGUGAAAGCUAACACUCUGCUGGGCUCAGAAAUAUCCAAUCUCACAAAUCUAUUGGCCAUGGCCUGAACAUCCAAGGCAAGCGGUCUCUGGCUGACCGGAAUAUAUGCAGAACUACAUAUGCUGGCGGACUUUCUACUUAAUGCAUCGACCACCAUAUUUGCCUUCCCUGGGCGGUAUAAAAUUGAAACAGUAUGCAAGACUACCCAUGUUGACGCACUUUCUACUCAAUGCAUCGGCCACCACAUUGGCCUUCCCUGGGUGGUAUAAACUAGAAACAUCAUAAUCUUUCAACGACUCCAACCACCUCCACUGUCUCAAAUUCAACGCUUUCUGCUUGAACAAGUACUGAAGGCUCUUGUGAUCCGAGUACACCUCACACGUCACACCAUACAAAUAAUGCCUCCAGAUCUUCAAGGCAUGAACAAUAGCUGCCAACUCUAAGUCAUGAGGUAAUAUUUCUCGUGGAUCUUCAAUUGCCUCGACGCAUAUGCUAUGACCUUGCCGCUAUGCAUCAACACUACGCCAAGUCCGAUGCGGGAAGCGUCAUAAUAUACAGUAUAAGGCCUGGAUCCCAUUGGAAAAAUCUAUACAGGUGCCGUAGUCAAGGCUGUCUUGAGCUUUUGGAAGCUCUCCUCGCACUCAUCUGACCACCUGAACUGGGCACCCUUCUGAGUCAAUCUAGUCAUCGGGGCUGCGAUGGAUAAAAACCCCUCCAGAAAGCGUCUGUAGUAACAAGCUAACCCCAAGAAACUCCGAAUCUCUGUAGCUGAAGCUGGUCGAGGCCAGUUCUUGACUACCUCUAUUUUCUUUGGGUCCACCUGGAUACCCUCUGCUGAUACGACAUGAUCCAGGGAUGCUACGGAACUCAACCAAAAUUCGCACUUUGAAAAUUUUGCGUACAACUGACUAUCCUUCAAAGUCUGAAGAACCACUCUGAGGUGCUGCUCAUGCUCCUCCUGAAUGCGGGAGUAUAUUAGGAUGUCAUCAAUGAAAAUAAUCACGAACAAAUCCAAAUAGGGCAUGAACACUCAGUUCAUCAACUCCAUAAAUGCUGCUGGGCAUUGGUCAAUCCAAACAACAUGACCAAAAACUCAUAAUGCCCAUACCGAGUGUGAAAUGCCGUCUUAAGGACAUCAGAUGCCCUAAUCCUCAGCUGAUGAUAACCAGACCUCAAAUCUAUCUUCAAGAACACCUUAGCACCCUGAAGCUGAUCAAACAAGUCAUCAACCCUUGGCAGUGGAUACUUGUUCAUUAUCGUCACCUUGUUCAACUGCUGGUAAUCAAUGCACAUCCUCAUCGACCCGUCCUUCUUCUUCACAAACAACACUGGUGCACCCCAAGGUGAUACGUUGGGUCUAAUGAAACCCUUAUCAAGCAAAUCCUGAAGCUGUUCUUUUAACUCUUUCAACUCUAGUAGGGCCAUGCGAUACGGUGGAAUAGAAAUAGGCUGAGUGCUAUGAGCCAAAUUAAUACAGAAGUCAAUAUCCCUGUUGGGCGGCAUACCUGGCAGGUCUGAAACAAAAACCUCGGGGAACUCUCGAACAAUAAGAACAGAGUUGAUAGAUGGAACCUAUGCGGCGGAGUCGCGAACAUACGCCAAAUAUGCUAAGCAUCCUUUCUCGGCCAUAUAUUGAGCCUUGACAUACGAAAUAACACUACGGGUGGCAUGACCUAGGGUCCCUCUCCACUCAAGUCCCGGCAAGUCUGGCAAGGCCAAAGUUACAGUCUUGGCGUGACAAUCCAAGAUGGCAUGAUACGGGGACAACCAGUCAAUCCCCAAUAUAACAUCGAAGUCCACCAUGUCUAGAAGCCAUAAAUUGACACGGGUCUCAAGACCCUCAAAUACCACUACGCAAGAAUGAUGCAAUCGGUCGACCACUAUAGAAUCACCAACCGGUGUGGACACAUAUACCAGAAUACCCAAAGCCUCACUAGGUAUAAGCAAAUAGGGUGAAAAAUAGGAUGGCACAUAAGAAUAAGUAGAUCCCGGAUCAAGUAAUACCUAAGUACCCCUAUCACAGACCAGUAUUACCUGUAAUCGCAACAUCAGAUGACUUAGCGUUAGGCCUGGCUGGCAGUGCAUAACAGCUAGCUGGCACCCACCUCCCUGAACUGUGUCUCUAGGACGAUCUGCUGCGGGCUGACCCCUACCUCUGGCUGUCCGGGCUCAACCUCUGCGGUCUCUCCCUCCACCUCUAUGGCCUCUACCCCCGCCUCUAGCUGGCUGGGCAACCUCUGGAUCACCUGGUGCCUGAAUGGUAGGGCGAAGACCCUGUUGCUGAGUACUCUGAACAAGACCAAUAUGCAAGUAAUUAAAAUUAGGUCUAUAUCUAAUUAUAUCUUGCUCAUUCAACAAUUUUAUAACUUCUAAAGAGUUAAUAAUUGCAACAGUUGAUUCACAUGUUUUAAUAUUAUGUUUCAUAAUUAAAUUAAAAUGACCUAUCUGGUAGAUCUUAUGAAAAGGUUCUUCAGGGAUACUCCAGUUAUCCAAUUAGACUCAGUUAAUGCAAUCUGAGAAGUACGAGAUGUUAAGCUAAAAAUAUUCAAAAUAUUUUGAUUCAUUUCAAAAAAUUACUAUACUGGAACCAAUACUAAUGCAAAACAACAUAUCCAAACAAUAUAUCCAGAUUAUGCAAAUACAAGAAUUUCAAAAGCCAAAUUAUUAAUAAGUUUUAGAUCUAAUUAUCAAAAGUUCAUAAGGAUCUACAUGUUCUCUUGGCUUUACCUCAUCUCUCUCUAGAGUUAUCUAGGCUAGGGAACACCUAAAGGUCUCAACAAAACGCCUAACUCGGCUUACAAGGACCACAAGGACAGGCUUGCCAAUGUAUGCUCCGGGGAUUACUCGGAUACCUCACACACUUAGAGAGAAAUAAGUACCUCACACAAAGUAAAUCAAUUAUAAAACAAGAUAAAAAGAUUUAACACUUAUAAAUAAUUUAAGCAUACUUCUUCAAGUAUUUGGCAUAAUAACUUGGUCAUGGAUUUGUCUUUGCAAAAGCAUUGAGCUCCGGACAGUAUAUGUGUUUAGUUACUCAUGUUAAACACAUAAACAGCCAUCAUGGCUCUGAUACCAAAAGAUGACAUGACCGAAAAUUAAACACUUGUAAGUAUAUAAAAAUAUGAACAAAUGAAAAGAGCAUAAAAAGCCAUCAUGGCUCUGAUACCAAAAGAUGACAGGACCGAAAUUUAAACACUUGUAAGUACAUAAAAUAUUAAUUUAAACACUUGUAAGUAUAUAAAAUAUGAACAAAUGAGAAGAUGUUACUUACAAAACAAGCUUUUUAUGUAAAAGGAGAAGGCAAGGCUGGAAGAUUACAAGAUUCAGAGGUAAAGAGAAUUUUAGAGAGACUAAAAUUGCGACUGAACUCCAAUAAUACAAGUGAGAGUCUUUUAUAGACCUCAGAUAAAGUAAAAGCAUCUUGUGCUUACAUGUGGACGGCUAUUAUUUUGCCGACAAAGUAGUGGGUCCCUAUUAAUUAAGACUAGACUCGUACAGCAAAGAUUCCAUCCGAGUGGAGGCAUACUUUUUGACUUAUUACUCAUGCUUAUCUUUUCUUUAAUAAAGUAAGCGUAUACAAGACAAAAGUGGGCAUUCCCACUAUAAUUAAUUUAAGACAAGGCCAUGUGCUUGCCCUACUCGGAUUCCUUUUAGGAAUAGUAAAACAUCCUUUGGAGAAAAGUAAUUCACCACUAUAAUUAAUUUAAGACAAAGCCAUGUACUUGGCCCUACUCAGAUUCCUUUUAGGAAUAGUAAAACGUCCUUUGGAGAAAAGUAAUUCCGGUUCUUUAAACCUCUACUUUUCUUCAAGGGCCAGAAUUCAUAUUUGUAACAGGUAUCCAGGUAAGCGUAUGAUAUGCCCUUAGGACAACUCAUAUCAUCAUUACUUGAUUCGGUUGAGGAGGCGGCUUCUUCAAUGAGCUGCAGCAAAGUGGCCUCAUCCUGAUGUUCGAUAUCUUGAAGGGCUUGUUGAAGCUUCUUCUUGAUCUCGGCUUUGGAUGACUUUGACGAAGAGGACUGAGCAGUAGCUUUCUCCUUCUUCGGAGUAGGAGUUUUGGGUUUCGGAACCCAACCUUUAACAUUUAUCUCUUUGGAUAGGUACCUGAUAUGGUCAAAUUCUGCGAUCUUAAAGUCCCAAACCCAACCUUUAACCUUUAUCUCUUUGGAUUGGUACCUGAUACGGUCAAAUUCUGUGAUCUUAAAGUCCCAGCUGAUAAUAUACGAUAUCCUUUUUUGGACAUAAUAUGUACACAUUUCAAUAUGAGUAGACAACGUAGUGAUCUCCUGCUUGGUUUGGAUCUCUUCAAACUUUUGCAGAAAAUGUUGAGGGAGGUUUUCCAAUUUCUUCCGAAAGCUUUCCACCAAUCGUAAAACCACCUAGGAAUAGUGGCCUUUACUAGCUCAGGGCUAUAUUUAACAAAUGAAGUGUGACUCGGCCUGAGAUACAUGAAAUUGUACCAUGCUUGCUUGUAGAUGUACCAGUUAUAUGUCUAAGGCUUGUGACUCAUGCUCAGAGGUACAGCAGUGAGUAGAUGGUCCACUUGCCAUUCAAACGGGGAGAGGAUCUUCUUAAUGGUGAAUCGGGAAUAUAGCAUAAAAUCUGAAUUUCUUUCAGAAUAAACAUGUUCGAUUUCUAUGGAAUCCGUAUCAACUAGAAUUGCCUCAAAAUAAAGGCGAGUGUGUAAAGAAUCAGGACUAUCUACGUAGUUUGAAUUGUUGUAACAAGGUUUUACUAAAUCUUGAACCCUACCAGUUUCGAAUUCUUUAUCGAGGGCCAAAAUAGGGAAAACUCUACUGGUUAGGUACACGAAAGGCUCUUGUGCCUGAGAGGAAGGACUCCAACCUUUGGGUCCACAGCCUGGGCGAAGGACUCAAGGGUCAUCAUCUCGUAACUCUGUUUACUUUGGACCUUGGAAGCAGAUCCAGACGAGGGCUAGGCCUGUAGGUACAAAAGGUCUAGCGGACGAAAGCUGCCUUUCGGGUUUAACAAUUUUGAACGGGGAGUUAGUCUUGGCUGGCUUCAUGACCCUGAAUAAAUUCACGGGUUAGAAAAUCAGGAAGAGAAUUACUUUCUCCUUUAAUGAACUCAAUUUUAAAAUCAAAGCUAGAUAGUAGAGCUUGCCAUCUAGCAAUUUGUUUUGAUACAAGAUUUUUUACAUCUUUCUGAAAAAUUUCCUUUGCAGAUUUGUAAACAACUCGCAGUAAAAUUUUUUUGUUUACUAAAUCAUCUUGAAAUUUAGUAUACAUAGUACUAUAGACAAAUCUUCCUUUUUGACUGUACUAUAAUUUUUCUGGGUAGAAUUCAAGCACCAGAAGUAAACCUCACAAGUUGCUCACAACUAUCCGGGUUGACGCGCUGUUUAAGGAUGCCUCCAUAUCCUAUAUCAGAAGCAUCUGUUUCUACUAUCAUAAAUGCAACGCGCUGUUUAAGGAUGCCUCCAUAUCCUACAUCAGAAGCAUCAGUUUCUACUAUCAUAAAUGCAUCAGGAUUAGGUAUCCCUAGACAAGGAAGAUUUUGAACUAAUCUCUUAAUUUUUUGGACACUCUGGGUCUGUUCUUCUCCCCAAGGUGCUGGGUUUUUUCUAAGCCUAUGGUAUAAUGGCUCACAGACUUGCCUGAUCUUUGGGAUGAAAUCAGCAACAUAAUUAAGACUUCCUAAAAAUCUCUGAAGCUGAGUUUUAUCCUUACUUUCAUCAGGGAAUUUAGAAGAGAAUUCAAUGGCUCUACAAAUAGGCCUAUGGGUUCCUUGAUAAAUAUCAUGACCUAAGAAUCUAAUCGAGGUUUGAAAGAGCUUAAUUUUCUUAGCACUAACAACCAAGCCAUUGUUUUUUACACCAUUAAAGAAAGUAUUGAGAUGCUUAAAAUGAGAAUCAAUGUCCUCAGAAAAAAUCAGCACAUCAUCAAUAUAAACUAUUGACAUAUAAGAAUAAGGAUUAAAUAUGCUAUUAAUAAUUUUUUGAAAUUUAGAAGGCGCAUUUUUUAACCAAAAUGGCAUAACAUUCCAUUCGUAAUGCCCAAAAGGAACAUUGAAUUAAGGCGCAUUUUUUAACCCAAAUGGCAUAACAUUCCAUUCGUAAUGCCCAAAAGAAACAUUGAAUGAAGUCUUAUACCGAUCUACAUUCGUAAUUUGGAGUUGCCAUAAUCCAGACUUCAUAUCAAACUUACUAUUAAGGUUUGCUUUAUAAGUUCGAUUAAGAAGAUCUCUUUUGUUGGGGAUUGGAUGGCGGAUCCAUUUGAGGACAGAGUUCAGGGGCUUAUUAUUAAUUACAAGCCUGGGUGCUCCUCUUUCUUUCUCUGCACUAUUGUUACCAUAGAAUGCAGAGCAACUCCAAGGAGAGUUAGAGGGGCGGAUUAUACCAUUAACAAGCAAAUGGUUAAUCUCAUUUUUGCAAACCUCCAAUAUCUCUUGAUUCAUCUGAAUCGGUCUAGCCUUUGUAGGGAUAUUCCGUUCAUCAAAACCAUCAAUGUACAGGAGUGCCACAAAAUGCUUUUUUACAUUCCAAAAAGCAGAAGGCAAAGUAGAACAAACUUCAUUUUCAAAUUUUCUUUGGAGGGAAUAGAUCUUAGCCACCAUUCCCGGGGUUUUUUAAGUUUGUUUAAUUUGUUCAAUCUUUAUUUCUUCUUUGAGAAAAGCAAUAUGAUUAGAAAGGCGAUUAAUUUUAAAAACAGUUUUAUUUUUUAAAAACAAACUUUCUUCAGGAGAAAGAGAUUUAACAAAUCGGAAAAACACCUUUUGACCAAGGAUACAUGCAUGAAUUCCAUCUAAAUUAUCAGUAUAUGGUUUUACCUGAUUUAUGAAAGGCAGGCCAAGAAUAAUAUCUUCAUUAAUAUUUUCAGUAAUCACAAAAUCGUCCGUGAAGCAAAUAUUAUUAUUAAAAAUAUGCGCUUUUGACAAUUUAUAAUCUAUUUCAUUCGCUCUCCUGUAGCAGAAUACAAACGAGUAGUACUUUUCUCAAGGUACUUAAGAGGAAUGAGGCCUUUCAAAAUACAAUUGCGAUCAGCUCCACUAUCAAACAAUGCAAUCUUGUUAAGCACAAAGUCUUUAGCAAUUACUAAUUUAAUAGGAAUAUGCUGACUGAGAGAUUUAAUGGUGGACACAGAAAGACUGGCUUCGUUCAGAAGACCGGGAUCAAUUGAUUCUCCAGGGAAGUUAGAAGUAGGUUCUAGUUCAGCAAAAGAAACAAAAGCACUGGCUUCUUUCAGAAGACCGGGAUCAAUUGAUUUUCCAGGGAAGUUAGAAGUAGGUUCUAGUUCAGCAAAAGAAAUAGAUUUUCCUUUAUCUGUUGCAAGAACUUCUCUCAGAACUUGAGAAGUAAGGGCCUCAAGCUCAAUCUUAUCAAGACGAGACUUCAUAUCUCUGACCUCCUGCAUAUGGGAAUUAAUUUCUCUACGCAAGUCAGAGACAGAGGGCUCAGCAGGUUUAUCAAACCUAGAGAAAACCUGGUUCAUACUAAACGGUUUUAUGACCUUAGAAUGAGAAGGUUUCUUUUGGUCUGAAUAAAGGAUAAUCUUCUUAAGUUCGGCAAGAUACCUGGUUCUCGACUCAUCAUUCUUGAUGUGGUCAAUGAUAUCAAAGAGAACUUCUUUAGAAUCCUCAGUAAUCGUACUAAUGGUAUUUGAAUUACAAUCACAGAAAAUACCUUCGCACGAUCCUUCACAAGAGUCAUCCUGUUCUGAUUGACUCUCAUCAGUCUCAUAUGCGAUGUUGAUAUUCUCUUCGUCACUAUAUUCGUCUGAAGAGGUAUCAUAUGAAGCAGAAUCACUCUCUUGGAGGAUAGAAAAUUGUUUUUCUUUAUUGAUAUUCUCUUCGUCACUAUAUUCGUCCGAAGAGGUAUUAUUAGAAGCAGAAUCACUCUCUUGGAGGAUAGAAAAGAGUUUUACCUUAGUAUCAUCAUCUAAUCCUAAGAGAUUAAUUUUCUUCUUCUUCAUAGAAGACUUACACUGGUUGGCUCUCUGUCCAGACUUACCACAGUUCCAACACACAUCUUCUUUAUGGGAAGGUCUACGCUUCCUGAACUUUUUAUUGGGUUGCUCUGACCUGUCCUUAGAAGUAUUCUUUCUAGGUCUCCUAGAGUUAUACGAAGACUUCUUAGAUUUCUUCUUGUCCAUCUUAGAAGGGGGAGGAUCUACAUUACCGAACCCAAAAUCACGGCAAAAACUGCCUAAUUCGGCUCUAGAGGUCAUCCUAUCAUUUUUAAGGUGACUCUUAAGCUUGAGGUCAGUACACAGUUCUAAAGCUGUGGUAUUAAUGAGGCUAAUAAUGUCUCCAUAAGUCAUCUGGUCAUAGAGCACUUUACCACCGCACCUAUCUCUGAUUUUUUAUCUAACCUUUUCGGCAAAAAGAGGGGGAAGACCGCUAAUGAAUCUGUCUUUCCAGAAGUCACUAUUACAGAUCUAGCAUUUUCGGCAAAAAGAGGGGGAAGACCGCUAAUGAAUCUGUCUUUCCAGAAAUCACUAUUGCAGUUGGGUCUGGUCAUAAUCUUAACCAUAAACUGACCCUUAUACCACCUAAAGUCACUUAAUUUAGGACACCUAAGGUUAUUAAGGAUUUCUAGACUCCUAUCUUGGAAGAGUUUUGGCUAACCUACAAAAUGUUUAGCAAUGUGGUAGAGCAGAGUGGCACAAGCAUCCUCACGAGUCUCAAAUUUCUGAGUUUCCAUACCACUGUUAAUUCUAAUAGUGGUAAUGAUCGUGGUUUCAUUGGGAAUGUGUUGCAUAAAAUCUUCGGUGACAUAAUUAUCCCACCAGUACCAAAGCAUUCCGGUAAAGCCAGCUGUGAUCAUAGCAGCUGCUUCUUUAUCGGAGGAACUACGCAGCUUAUAACUGGUAAUGCAAACACCCAUUUCCUGGAGGACUCGAUAGAUUUGAUGUUUGGGUAACCCAUCAAUAUUCCAUUCGACGAUGCCUCGACCAUCAUGAGAAGAUUGAGACUGGAAACCGUCUUCCUCAUACUGAGUAUCAGGAAAAGAGGGGCGUCUAUAAUAAUUUCUCCGAUUAGGAUAUCGGUCAGAAAGUUUAUGAAGAGAGUUAUCAGAAAGACUGUGGACACUCUCGGAAGUAGAAGCUUUAUUUUCCUUGGCUAGGGAAGCUUCAUUUUCUUUGGUUGAGGAAGCUUUAGGUAAGAAAGUUUAUGAAGAGAGUUUUCAGAAAGAGUGUGGACAUUCUAGGAAGUAGAAGCUUUGACAAUCUCGGAAGUAGAAGCUUUAUUUUCCUUGGUUGAGGGAGAAUCAGAAACUGACGAUGCUUUAGCCUUACUUUUGUCAGAGGCGUGAAAGUGGGUUAAUUUUUCGGUGAUUUGUUCAACUAGCUUACCUGAGAUGGCAAUAUCGUUGCUGAGCUUGGGGAACAAUUCACGAUGAAAUUCAGGGGGUUUGAAUAUAGGAUUAGGCUCUAUCGUUUUACUAGUACUGGGCCUAGGGGCACUUAAACUAGGGGCCGAAAACACCAACUUAGGAUUUGUUUCCUCAAUCUGUAAAGAAACAGUGUGCAAAAAUUUAUUGGUAUAAUUGUUCUAUUGGACAAUCUUAUCAAUAUCUGCAUUAGAGGGCAAACUCUGAGGAUUACUGCUUUUGAGCUUGAAAGGAGACGCAGGAACAAGAUUAUUGGAAUGAGGAAUUUUAAUUCCCUCAAGCGCGGGAGUGACAGAGUCGACGACCUUGCUGGACUGAGUAUACUUAUUAACAAGGACUUGUAAUGACUCAUUUUGGUCAUCUAACUUUCUAGUGAUUUCAAACCAUCUGAAGAAUUCGAUAUCACACUUUAAACGCUUCAUAUCUGAAAUCCACUGUUUUCCAAAAAGAGCAUGUUGACUCUGAGAAUAGGUAGCACCAUACCAUUUGACUUUCAACCUAUUGUUAGGGUCAAGCCAGAAUUUUUUCAAAGAAGCAAGAUCAGGGGUAUAGUCCUCUUCUGCAGUAAUAACACCCAAUCCAGGGUCUGAAUAAUGCCUUGGAGGCUCCAUAUUAGGCUCUAUGGGACUAGAAGGUUCCUGGACCUGAGGUUUAUAAAACACUUUUGGGAUUUCUCCCGAAUAAUCUACACCAUCAACUUGACUUUUGUCAGCUGACCUAAAAGAAUAAGAACGAUUAAAUACUCCUUCGGGGGGCUUCGAUGAAGUAGAACCCGCGGCCAAACUUCUACGAGGUCUGGAGUCCAGAAAUUUAAGAUCAACCGAACCAUCGGAAUUUUGAAUGAUACCUCAAGAAAUGGUAGCUCCUCCAGAAGGGCUGCCAUUUCAAGUAGCAGACCGAGCUCUUCUGCUUUGAAGAAGUAGAACCAGAGGUGAAACUUCUGCGAGGUCUGGAGUCCAGAAAUUUAAGAUCAAUAGAACCAUCAGAAUUUUGAAUGAUACGCUCAAUCUGACGUUUCUCAGUGUGAGAGGAAACAGGUUGGGUAAUAGCCUCAAAAUGAAAAUCUGUAUUGGCCAGGAGGUCAUUCCACUUGAGAAGGCGAGGAACAAAGACGGUACUAUGUUCAUGGUUAGUUUCCAUUAACAUAGUCACACCUUUGGUACUCUUUAUCCUAGCUCAAGGAGCAAGGGUAGUAGCCAUCAACCUGUAAUAGACUCGAUAUAUAACAGCUAACUCACGAGUUUCGGAUUUGCUGUUCAUAUUUAUAGAUUUAAUAUUAAGAGUUAAUGUAUCUAACACAUUAGGAUCAUUAAUANNNNNNNNNNNNNNNNNNNNNNNNNNNNNNNNNNNNNNNNNNNNNNNNNNNNNNNNNNNNNNNNNNNNNNNNNNNNNNNNAUCGAAAUGCCAAUCUGUAUUGGCCAAGAGGUCAUUCCACUUGAGAAGGCGAGGAACAAAGAUGAUACUAUGUUCAUGGUUAGCUUCCAUUAACAUAGUCACACCUUUGGUACUCUCUAUCCUAGCUCUAGGAGAAAGGGUAGUUGCCAUCAACCUGUAAUAGACUCGAUAUAUAACAGCUAACUCACGAGUUUCGGAUUUGCUGUUCAUAUUUAUAGUUUUAAUAUUAAGAGUUAAUGCCAUCAACCUGUAAUAGACUCGAUAGAUAACAGCUAACUCACUAGUUUCUGAUUUGCUGUUCAUAUUUAUAGUUUUAAUAUUAAGAGUUAUUGUAUCCAACAAUUAGGAUAAUUAAUAUUAACAGAGAAAUUUGGAUAGCAGUUGAAAUAAACAGGGACACCUGCUAAAUUACUUUCAAGAUCGCCCAAUAAUAAUCAUCAAAAUUAAGAAAACAUGCAUCACGUAACAGUGCACAAAUAGGAAUAUUAAGUCCUUUUCUUAAUAAAGGAUUAACAGCAAUUUGAACAAGACUAAUAUGCAAGUAAUUAAAAUUAGAUCUAUAUCUAAUUAUAUCUUGCUCAUUCAACAAUUUUAUAACUUUUAAAGAGUUUUAAUAGAAACAGUUGAUUCACAUGUUUUAAUAUUAUGUUUCUUAAUUAAAUUAAAAUGACCUAUCUGGUAGAUCUUAUGAAAAGGUUCUUCAGGGAUACUCCAGUUAUCCAAAUUAGACUCAGUUAAUGCAAUAUGAGAUGCACGAGAUGUUAAGUUAAUAGUAUUCAAGAUAUUUUGAUUCAUUUAAAAAAAUUACUGUCCUGGAACCUAUACUAAUGCAAGUACGAGAUGUUAAGUUAACAGUAUUCAAAAUAUUUUGAUUCAUUUCAAAAAUUACUGUCCUGGAACCAAUACUAAUGCAAAACAACGUAUCCAAACAAUAUAUCCAGAUUAUGCAAAUACAAGAAUUAUAAAAGCCAAAUUAUUAAUAAGUUUUAGAUCUAAUUAUCAAAGGUUCAUAAGGAUCUACAUGUUCUCUUGGCUUUACCUCAUCUCUCUCUAGAGUUAUCUAGGAUACGGGAACACCGAAAGGUCUCAACAAAACGCCUAACUCGGCUUACAAGGACCACAGGGACAGACUUGCCAACGUAUGCUCCGGGGAUUACUCGGAUACCUCACACACUUAGAGAGAAAUAAGUACCUCACACAAAGUAGAUCAAAUAUAAAACAAGAUAAAAGAUCUAACACUUAUAAAUAAUUUAAGCAUAUUACUUCAAGUAUUCAGAAUAAUAACUUAGUCAUGGAUUUGUCUUUGCAAAAGCAUUGAGCUCCGGACAGUAUAUGUGUUUAGUUGCUCAUGUUAAACACAUAAACAGCCAUCAUGGCCCUUAUACCAAAAGAUGACAGGACCAAAAUUUAAACACUUGUAUGUACAUAAAAUAUUAAUUUAAACACUUGUAAGUAUAUAAAAUAUGAACAAAUGAGAAGAUGUUACUUACAAAACCAGCUUUUUAUUUAAAAGGAGAAGGCAAGGCUGGAAGAUUACAAGAUUCAGAGGUAAAGAGAACUUUAGAGAGACUAAAAUUGCGACUGAACUCCAACAAUACAAGUGAGAGUCUUAUAUAGACCUCAGAUAAAGUAAAAGCAUCUUGUGCUUACAUGUGGACGGCUAUUAUUUUGCCGACAAAGUAGUGGGUCCCUAUUGAUUAAGACUAGACUCGUACAACAAAGAUUCCAUCUGAGUGGAAGGCAUACUUUUUGACUUAUUACUCAUGCUUAUCUUUUCUUUAAUAAAGUAAGCGUAUACAAGACAAAAUUGGGCAUUCCCACUAUAAUUAAUUUAAGAGAAGGCCAUGUACUUAGCCCUACUCGGAUUCCUUUUAGGAAUAGUAAAACGUCCUUUGGAGAAAAGUAAUUCCGGUUCUUUGAACCUCUACUUUUCUUCAAGGGCCAGAAUUCCUAUUCGUAAUAGGUAUCCAGGUAAGCCUAUGCUAUGCCCUUAGGACAACACAUAUCAUCAUUACUUAAUUUGGUUGAGGAGGCGGCUUCUUCAAUGAGCUACAGCAAAGUGGCUUCAUCCUGAUGUUCGAUAUCUUGAAGGGCUUGUUGAAGCUUCUUCUGGAUCUCGGCUUUGGAUGACUUUGAUGAAGAGGACUGAGCAGUAGCUUUCUCCUUCUUUGGAGUAGGAGUUUCGGGUUUCGGAACCCAACCUUUAACCUUUAUCUCUUUGGAUUGGUAUCUGAUACGGUCAAAUUCUGCGAUCUUAAAGUCCCAGCUGAUAAUAUACGAUAUCCUUUUUUGGACAUAAUAUUUACACAUUUUAAUAUGAGUAGGCAACGUAGUGAUCUCCUGCUAGGUUUGGAACUCGUCAAACUUUUGCAGAAAAUGUUGAGAGAGGUUUUCCCAUUUUCCUCCGAAAGCUUUCCACCUAUCGUAAAACCACCUAGGAAUAGUGGCCUUUACUAGCUCAGGGCUAUAUUUAACAAACCAAGUGUGACUCGGCCUGAGAUACAUGAAAUUGUACCAUGCUUGCUUGUAGAUGUACCAGUUAUAUGUCUAGGGCUAUAUUUAACAAACCAAGUGUGACUCGGCCUGAGAUACAUGAAAUUGUACCAUGCUUGCUUGUAGAUGUACCAAUUAUAUAUCUGAGGCUUGUGACUCAUGCUCAGAGGUAUAGGAGUGAGUAGAUGGUCCACAUGCCAUUCAAACGGGGAGAGGAUCUUCUUAUUGGUGAAUUGGGAAUGUAGGAUAAAAUCUGAAUUUCUUUCAUAAUAUACAUGUUCGAUUUCUAUGGAAUCCGUAUCAACUAAAUGCCUCAAAAUAAAGGCGAGUGUGUAAAGAAUCAGGACUAUCUACGAAGUUUGAAUUGUUGUAACAAGGUUUUACUAAAUCUUGAACCCUACCAGUUUUGAAUUCUUUUUCGAGGGCCAAAAUAGGGAAAACUCUAGUGGUUAGGUACUCGAAAGGCUCUUGUGCCUGAGAGGAAGGACUUUGGGUCUGGACCUUUGGGUCCACAGCCUGGGCGAAGGACUCAGGGGUCUUCAUCUCGUAACUCUAUUUACUUUGAACCUUGGAAGUAGAUCCAGACGAGGAUUCAGGUUUUGGGCCUGUAAGUUUGGGGAUGUCUCCAAGGACAGUAAAUUUGUUUUGAGAUGGGCUUUGGGCCGGACUAGGUAAAGGCGGGAAAGAAGGCCUUAGCUGGGCUAGGCUUGUAGGUACAAAAGGUCUAGAGGACGAAAGCUGCCUUUCGGGUUUAACAUUUUUGAACGGGGAGUUAGUCUUGGCUGGCCUCAUGACCCUGAAUAAAUUCACGGGAUAGAAAAUCAGGAAGAGAAUUACUUUCUCCUUUAAUGAACUCAAUUUUAAAAUCAAAGCUAAAUAGUAGAGCUUGCCAUCUAGCAAAUAUUUGUUUUGAAACAAGAUUAUUUACAUCUUUCUGUAAAAUUUCCUUUGUAGAUUUGCAAUCAACUCAGAGUAAAAAUACUUUGUUUACUAAAUCAUCUUGAAAUUUAGUAAUACAUAGUACUAUAGACAAAACUUCCUUUUUUUUUGUGAAAUUUCCUUUGCAGAUUUGCAAUCAACUCGGAGUAAAACAUCUUUGUUUACUAAAUCAUCUUGAAAUUUAGUAAUACAUAGUACUAUAGACAAAACUUCAUUUUUGACUGUACUAUAAUUUUUCUGGGUAGAACUCCAGACACCAGAAGUAAACCUCACAAGUUGCUCACAACUAUCCGGGUUGACGCGCUGUUUAAGGAAGCCUCUAUAUCCUAUAUUAGAAGCAUAUGUUUCUACUAUCAUAAAUGCAACAGGAUUAGGUAUCCCUAGACAAGGAAGAUUUUGAACUAAUCUCUUAAUUUUUUGGACACUCUUGCAUCGGGAUUAGGUAUCCGUAGACAAGGAAGAUAUUGAACUAAUCUCUUAAUUCUUUGGACACUCUGGGUCUGUUCUUCUCCCCAAGGUGCUGGGUUUUUUAUAAGCCUAUAGUAUAAUGGCUCACAGACUUGCCUAAUCUUUGGGAUGAAAUCAGCAACAUAAUUAAGACUUCCUAAAAAUCUCUGAAGCUGAGUUUUAUCCUUAAUUUAAUCAUGGAAUUUAGAAGAGAAUUCUAUGGCUCUACAAAUAGGCCUGUGGGUUCCUUGAUAAAGAUCAUGACCUAAGAAUCUAAUCGAGGUUUGAAAGAGCUUAAUUUUCUUAGCACUAACAACCAAGCCAUUGUUUUUUACACCAUUAAAGAAAGUAUUGAGAUGCUUAAAAUGAGAAUCAAUGUCCUCAGAAAAAAUCAGCACAUCAUCAAUAUAAACUAUUGACAUAUAAGAAUAAGGAUUAAAUAUGCUAUUAAUAAUUUUUUGAAAUUUAGAAGGCGCAUUUUUUAACCAAAAUGGCAUAACAUUCCAUUCGUAAUGCCCAAAAGGAACAUUGAAUGCAGUCUUAUACCGAAGGCGCAUUUUUAACCCAAAUAGCAUAACAUUCCAUUCGUAAUGCCCAAAAGGAAUAUUGAAUGCAGUCUUAUACCGAUCUUCAUUCUUAAUAUAGAUUUACCAGAAUCCAGACUUCAUAUCGAACUUACUAUAAAGGUUUGCUUUAUAAGUUCGUUUAAGAAGAUCUCUUUUGUUGGGGAUUGGAUGGCGGAUCCAUUUGAGGACAGAGUUCAGAGGCUUAUAAUUAAUUACAAGCCUGGGUGCUCAUCUUUCUUUCUCUGCACUAUUGUUAACAUAGAAUGCAGAGCAACUCUAAGGAGAGUUAGAGGGGCGGAUUAUACCAUUAUCAAGCAAAUGGUUAAUCUCAUUUUUGCAAACCUCCAACAAUUCUUCAUUCAUCUGAAUCGGUCUAGCCUUUGUAGGGAUAUUCCGUUCAUCAAAACCAUCAAUGUACGGGAGUUCAACAGAAUGCUUUUUUACAUUCCAAAAAGCAGAAGGCAAAUUAGAACAAACUUCAUUUUCAAAUUUUCUUUGGAGGGAAUCAAUCUUAGCCACCAUUCCCGGGGUUUUUAAAGUUUGUUUAAUUUGUUCAAUCUUUAUUUCUUCUUUGACGAUCUUAGACACCAUUCCCGGGGUUUUUAAAGUUUGUUUAAUUUGUUCAAUCUUUAUUUAUUCUUUUAGAAAAGAAAUAUGAUUAGAAAGGCGAUUAAUUUUAAAAACAGUUUUAUUUUUCAAAAACAAACUUUCUUCAAGAGAAAGGGAUUUAACAAAUGGGAAAAACACCUUUUGACCAAGGACACAUGCAUGAAUGCCAUCUAAAUCAUCUGUAUAUGGUUUUAACUGAUUUAUGAAAGGCAGACCAAGAAUAAUAUCUUCAUUAAUAUUUUCAGUAAUCACAAAAUCGUUCGUAAAGCAAAUAUUAUUAUUACAAAUAUGCGAUUUAGACAAUUUAAAAUCUAUUUUCAUUCGCUCUCCUGUAGCGGAAUACAAACGAGUAGUACCUUUCUCAAGGUACUAAAGAGGAAUGAGGCCUUUUACAAUUCAAUUGCGAUCACCGCCACUAUCAAACAAUGCAAUCUUGUUAAGCACAAAGUCUUUAGCAAUUACUAAUUUAAUAGGAAUAUGCUGACUGAGAGAUUUAAUGGUGGACACAGAAGGAUUUGCUUCUUCAAGAAGACCGAGAUCAAUUGAUUCUCCAGGGAAGUUAGAAGUAGGUUCUAGUUCAGAAAAAGAAACAGAUUUUCCUUUAUUUGUUGCAGGAACUUAUCUAAGAACUUGAGAAGUAAGGUCCUCAAGCUCAAUCUUAUCAAGACGAGACUUCAUAUCUCUGACCUCCUGCUUAAGAGAAUUCAUUUCUCUACGCAAGUCAGAUACAGAGGGCUCAGCAGGUUUAUCGAACCUAGAAAAAACCUGGUUCAUACUAAAAGGUUCUAUAAACUUAGAAUGAGAAGGUUUCUUUUGGUCUGAAUUAAGGAUAAUCUUCUUAAGUUCAGGAAGAGACCUUGUUCUAGACUCAUCAUUCUUGAUGUGGUCAAUGAUAUCAAAGAGAACUUCUUUAGAAUCCUCAGUAAUCGUACUAAUGGUAUUUGAAUUACAAUCACAGAAAAUACCUUCGCACGAUCCUUCACAAGAGUCAUCCUGUUCUGAUUGACUCUCAUCAGGUUUGAUUUACAAUCACAGAAAAUACCUUCGCACGAUCCUUCAUAAGAGUCAUCCUGUUCUGAUUGACUCUCAUCAGUCUCAUAUGCGACAUUGAUAUUCUCUUCGUCAUUAUAUUCGUCCGAAGAAGUAUUAUUAGAAGCAAAAUCACUCUCUUGGAGGAUAGAAAAGAGUUUUUCCUCAGUAUCAUCAUCUAAUCCUAAGAGAUUAAUUUUCUUCUUCUUCUUAGAAGACUUACACUGGUUGGCUCUAUGUCAAGACUUUCCAUAGUUCCAACACACAUAUUCUUUAUGGGAAGGUCUACGCUUCCUGCAUUUCUUCUUGGGUUGGUCUGACCUGUCCUUAGAAGUAUUCUUUCUAGGUCUCCUAGAUUUAUACAAAGACUUCGUAGAUUUCUUCUUGGCCAUCUUAGAAGGGGGAGGAUCUACAUUACCGAACCCAAAAUCAUGGCAAAACUGCCUAAUUCGGCUCUAGAUGUCAUCCUAUCUUUCUUAAGGUAACUCUUCAGCUUGAGGUCAGUACACAGUUCUAAAGCUGUGGUUUUAAUGAGACUAAUAAUGUCUCCAUAAGUCAUCUGGUCAUAGGGCACCUUACCACUGCACCUAUCUCUGAUUUUUUAUCUAACCUUUUCGGCAAAAAGAGGGGGAAGACCGCUAAUGAAUCUGUCUUUCCAGAAGUCACUAUUACAGUCGGGUCUGGUCAUAAUCUUAACCAUAAAUUGAUCCUUGUACCACCUAAAGUCACUUAAAUUAGGACAUCUAAGGUUAUUAAGGAUUUCUAGACUCCUAUAUUGGAAGAGCUUUGGCUCACCUACAAAGUGUUUAGCAAUGUGGAAGAGCAGAGUGGCACGUGGUCAUAAUCUUAACCAUAAACUCAUCCUUAUACCACCUAAGGUCACUUAAUUUAGGAAACCUAAGGUUAUUAAGGAUUUCUAGACUCCUAUCUUGGAAGAGUUUUGGCUCACCUACAAAGUGUUUAGCAAUGUGGUAGAGCAGAGUGGCACAAGCAUCCUCACGAGUCUUAGAUUCCUGAGUUUCCAUACCACUGUUAGUUCUAAUAGUGGUUCGUGGUUGCAUUGAGAAUGUGUUGCUUAAGUUCUUCGGUGACAUAAUUAUCCCACCAAUACCUAAGCAUUCCCGUAAAGCCAGCUGUGACCAUAGUAGCUGCUUCUUUAUUGGAGGAACUACGCAGCUUAUAGCUGGUAACGCAAGCACCCAUUUCGUGGAGGACUCGAUUGAUUUGAUGUUCGGCUAACCCAUCAAUAUUCCAUUCGACCAUGCCUCAACCAUCAUGAGAAGAUUGAGACUGGAAACCGUCUUCCUCAUACUGAGUAUCAGGAAAGGAGGGACGUUUAUAAUAAUUUCUCCUAUUAGGAUAUCGGUAAGAAAGUUUAUGAAGAGAGUUUUCAGAAAGAGUGUGGACAUUCUAGGAAGUAGAAGCUUUGACAAUCUCGGAAGUAGAAGCUUUAUUUUCCUUGGUUGAGGGAGUCAGAAAGUUAAUGAAGAGAGUUUUCAGAAAGAGUGUGGACAUUCUCGGAAAUAGAAGCUUUGACACUCUCGGAAGUAGAAGCUUUAUUUUCCUUGGUUGAGGGAGAAUCAAAAACUGACGAUGCUUUAGCCUUAAUUUUGUCAGAGACUGAAAGUGGGCUAAUUUUUCGGAGAUUUGUUCAACUAGCACCUUAGACGGCAAUAUCGUUGCUGAGCUUGGGGAACAAUUCACGACGAAAUUCAGGGGGUUUGAAUAUAGGAUUAGGCUCUAUCGUACUACUAGUACUGGGCCUAGGGGCACUUAAACUAGGGGCUGAAAAAAGGGGGUUUGAAUAUAGGAUUAGGCUCUAUCGUAUUACUAGUAUUGGGCCUAGGGGCACUUAAACUAGGAGCCGAAAAGACCAACUUAGGAUUUUUUUCCUCAAUCUGUAAAGAAACAGUGUGCAAAAAUUUAUUGGUAUAAUUGUUCUGUUCGACAAUCUUAUCAAUAUCUGCAUUGGAGGACAAACUCUGAGGAUUACUGCUUUUCAGCUUGAAAGGAGACGCAGGAACAAGAAUAUUGGAAUGAGGAAUUUUAAUUCCCUCAAACGGGGGAGUGACAGACUCAACGACCUUGCUGGACUGAGUAUACCACUUAUAAACAAGGACUUGUAAUGACUCAUUUUGUUCAUCUAACUUUCCAUUGAUUUCAAACCAUCUGAAAAAUUCGAUAUCACACUUUAAACGCUUCAUAUCUGAAAUCCACUGUUUUCUAAAAAGAGCCUGCUAACUCUGAGAAUCGGUAACACCAUACCAUUUGACUUUCAACAUAUUGUUAGGGUCAAGCCAGAGUUUUUUCAAAGAAGCAAGAUCAGGGGUAUAAUCCUCUUCUGCAGUAAUAACACCCAAUCCAGGGUCUGAAUAUUGCCUUGGAGGCUCCAUAUCAGACUCUGUAGGAUUAGAAGGUUCCUGGACCUGAGGUUUAUGAAACACUUUUUGGAUUUCUCCCGAAAAAUCUACACCAUCAACUUGACUUUUGUCAGCUGAACUAAAAGAAUAAGAACGAUUAAGUACUCCCUCCGGGGGAUUUGAAGAAGUAGAACCAGGGGUGAAACUUCUGCGAGGUUUGGAGUCCAGAAAUUUAAGAUCAACAGAACCAUCGGAAUUUUGAAUGAUACGCUCAAUCUGACGUUUCUCAGUGUGAGAGGAAACAGGUUGGGUAUUAGCCUCGAAAUGCCAGUCUGUAUUGUACGCUCAAUCUGACGUUUCUCAGUGUGAGAGGAAACAGGUUGGGUAAUAGCCUCGAAAUGCCAAUCUGUAUUGGCCAGGAGGUCAUUCCACUUGAGAAGGCGAGGAACAAAGAUGAUACUAUGUUCAUGGUUAGCUUUCAUUAACAUAGUCAUACCUUUGGUACUCUCUAUCCUAGCUCUAGGAGCAAGGGUUGUUGCCAUCAACCUGUAAUAGACUCGAUAUAUAACAGCUAACUCACGAGUUUCUGAUUUGCUGUUAAUAUUUAUAGUUUUAAUAUUAAGAAUUAAUGUAUCCAACACAUUAUGAUCAUUGAUAUCAACAGAGAAAUUUGGAUAGCAGUUGAAAUAAACAGGGCCACCUGCUAAAUUACUUUCAAGAGCUCCCAAUAAAUAAUCAUCAAAAUUAAGAAAACGUGCAUCGCGUAACAGUGCACAAACAGGAAUAUUAAGUCCUUUUCUAAAUAUAGGCUUAACAGCAAUUUGAACAAGACCAAUAUGCAAGUAAUUAAAUUUAGAUCUAUAUCUAAUUAUAUCUUGCUCAUUCAACAAUUUUAUAACUUCUAAAGAGUUAUUAAUUGUAACAGUUGAUUAACAUGUUUUAAUAUUAUGUUUCUUAAUUAAAUUAAAAUGACCUAUCUGGUAGAUCUUAUGAAAAGGUUCUUCAAGGAUACUCCAGUUAUCCAAAUUAGACUCAGUUAAUGCAAUCUGAGAAGUACGAGAUGUUAAGUUAACAGUAUUAAAAAUAUUUUGAUUCAUUUCAAAAAAUUACUGUCGUGGAACCAAUACUAAUGCAAAACAACGUAUCCAAACAAUAUAUCCAGAUUAUGCAAAUACAAGAAUUACAAAGGCCAAAUUAUUAAUAAGUUUUAGAUCUAAUUAUCGAUGGUUCAUAAGGAUAUACAUGUUCUCUUGGCUAUACCUCAUCUCUCUCUAGAGUUAUCUAGGCUACGGGAACACCUAAAGGUCUCAACAACGGCUUACAAGGACCACAGGGACAGGCUUGCCAACGUAUGCUCCGAGGAUUACUCGGAUACCUCACACACUUAGAGAGAAAUAAGUACCUCACACAAAGUAGAUCAAUUAUAAAACAAUAUAAAAGGAUUCAACACUUAUAAAUAAUUUAAGCAUUCUUCUUCAAGUAUUUGGCAUAAUAACUUGGUCAUGGAUUUGUGUUUGCAAAAGCAUUGAGCUCCGGACAGUAUAUGUGUUUAGUUGCUCAUGUUAAACACAUAAACNNNNNNNNNNNNNNNNNNNNNNNNNNNNNNNNNNNNNNNNNNNNNNNNNNNNNNNNNNNNNNNNNNNNNNNNNNNNNNNNNNNNNNNNNNNNNNNNNNNNNNNNNNNNNNNNNNNNNNNNNNNNNNNNNNNNNNNNNNNNNNNNNNNNNNNNNNNNNNNNNNNNNNNNNNNNNNNNNNNNNNNNNNNNNNNNNNNNNNNNNNNNNNNNNNNNNNNNNNNNUUUUUUAUUUAAAAGGAGAAGGCAAGGCUGGAAGAUUACAAGAUUCAGAGGUAAAGAGAAUUUUGGAGAGACUAACAUUGCGACUGACCUCCAACAAUACAAGUGAGAGUCUUUUAUGGACCUCAGAUAAAGUAAAAGCAUCUUGUGCUUACAGGUGGACGGCUAUUAUUUUGCCGACAAAAUAAUGGGUCCCUGCUGAUUAAGACUAGACGCGUACAGCAAAGAUUCCAUCUGAGUGGAAGACAUACUUUUGACUUAUUACACAUGCUUAUCAUCUCUUUAAUUAAGACUAGACUCGUACAGCAAAGAUUCCAUCUGAGUGGAAGGCAUACUUUUUGACUUAUUAAUCAUGCUUAUCGUUUCUUUAAUAAAGUAAGCGCAUACAAGACAAAAAUGGGCAUUCCCACUAAUUAAUUUAAGACAAGGCCAUGUGCUUGGCCCUACUCGGAUUUAUUUUAGGAAUAGUAAAACGUCCUUUGGAGAAAAGUAAUUCCGCUUCUUUGAACCUCUACUUUUAUUCAAGGGCCAGAAUUCCUAUUCAUAAUAGGUAUCCAGGUAAGCCUAUGCUAUGCCUUUAGGACAGCACAUAUCAUCAUUACUUGAUUCGGUUGAGGAGGCGGCUUCUUCAAUGAGCUGCAGCAAAGUGGCUUCAUCCUGAUGUUCGAUAUCUUGAAAAGCUUGUUGAAGCUUCUUCUUGAUAUUGGCUUUGGAUGACUUUGACGAAGAGGACUGAGCAGUAGCUUUCUCCUUCUUUGGAGUAGAAGUUUUGGGUUUCGGAGACCAACCUUUAACCUUUAUCUCUUUGGAUAGGUACCUGAUACGGUCAAAUUCUGCGAUCUUAAAGUCCCAGCUGAUAAUAUACGAUAUCCUUUUUUGGACAUAAUAUUUACACAUUUUAAUAUGAGUAGGCAACGUAGUGAUCUCCUGCUUGGUUUGGAACUCGUCAAACGUUUGCAGAAAAUGUUGAGGGAGGUUUUCCCAUUUUCCUCCGAAAGCUUUCCACCAAUCGUAAAACCACCUAGGAAUAGUGGCCUUUACUAGCUCAGGGCUAUAUUUAACAAACCAAGUGUGACUCGCCCUGAGAUACAUGAAAUUGUACCAUGCUUGCUUGUAGAUUUACCAGUUAUAUGUCUGAGGCUUGUGACUCAUGCUCAGAGGUAUAGGUGUGAGUAGAUGGUCCACAUGCCAUCCAAACGGGGAGAGGAUCUUUUUAAUGGUGAAUUGGGAAUAUAGGAUAAAAUCUGAAUUUCUUUAAGAAUAAACAUGUUCGAUUUCUAUGGAAUCGGUAUCAACUAGAAUUGCCUCAAAAUAAAGGCGAGUGUGUACAGAAUCAGGACUAUCUACGUAGUUUGAAUUGUUGUAACAAGGUUUUACUAAAUCUUGAAACCUACCAGUUUUGAAUUCUUUAUCGAGGGCCAAAAUAGGGAAAACUCUAGUGGUUAGGUACUCGAAAGGCUCUUGUGCCUGAGAGGAAGGACUUUGGGUCAGGACCUUUGGGUCCACAGCCUGGGCGAAGGACUCAUGGGUCUUCAUCUCGUAGCUCUGUUAAGGAAGGACUUUGGACCUUUGGGUCCACCGCCUGGGCGAAGGACUCAGGGGUCUUCAUCUCGUAACUAUGUUUACUUUGGACCUUGGAAGUAGAUCCAGACGAGGAUUUAGGUUUUGGGCCUGUAAGUUUGGGGAUGUCUCCAAGGACAGUAAAUUUGUUUUGAGCCGGACUAGGUAAAGGAGGGAAAGAAGGCCUUAGCUGGGCUAGGCCUGUAGGGACAAAAGGUCUAGCGGACGAAAGUUGGCUUUCGAGUUUAACAUUUUUGAACGGGGAGUUAGUCUUGGCUGGCCUCAAGACCCUGAAGAAAUUCACGGGUUAGAAAAUCAGGAAGAGAAUUACUUUCUCCUUUAAUGAACUCAAUUUUAAAAUGAAAGCUAGAUAGUAGAGCUUGCCAUCUAGCAAAUAUUUGUUUUGAAACAAGAUUUUUUACAUCUUUUUGUAAAAUUUCCUUUGAAGAUUUGCAAUCAACUCGGAGUAAAAAAUUUUUGUUUACUAAAUCAUCUUGAAAUUUAGUAAUACAUAGUACUAAAGACAAAACUUCCUUUUUCACUGUACUAUAAUUUUUCUGGGUAGAAUUCCAGACACCAGAAGUAAACCUCACAAGUUGCUCACAACUAUCCGGGUUGACGCGCUGUUUAAGGAUGCCUCCAUAUCCUAUAUCAGAAGCAUCUGUUUCUACUAUCAUAAAUGCAUUGACGCGCUGUUUAAGGAUGCCUCCAUAUCCUACAUCAGAAGCAUCAGUUUCUACUAUCAUAAAUGCAUCAGGAUUAGGUAUCCCUAGACAAGGAAGAUUUUGAACUAAUCUCUUAAUUUUUUGGACACUCUGGGUCUGUUCUUCUCCCAAAGGUGCUGGGUUUUUUCUAAGCCUAUGGUAUAAUGGCUCACAGACUUGCCUAAUCUUUGGGAUGAAAUCAGCAACAUAAUUAAGACUUCCUAUAAAUCUCUGAAGCUGAGUUUUAUCCUUAAUUUCAUCCAGGAAUUUAGAAGAGAAUUCUAUGGCUCUACAAAUAGGCCUAUGGGUUCCUUGAUAAAGAUCAUGACCUAAGAAUCUAAUCGAGGUUUGAAAGAGCUUAAUUAUUUUUAGCACUAACAACCAAGCCAUUGUUUUUCACAACAUUAAAGAAAGUAUUGAGAUGCUUAAAAUGAGAAUCAAUGUCCUCAGAAAAAAUCAGCACAUCAUCAAUAUAAACUAUUGACAUAUAAGAAUAAGGAUUAAAUAUGCUAUUAAUAAUUUUUUGAAAUUUAGAAGGCGCAUUUUUUAACCAAAAUGGCAUAACAUUCCAUUCGUAAUGCCCAAAAGGAACAUUGAAUGCAGUCUUAUACCGAUCNNNNNNNNNNNNNNNNNNNNNNNNNNNNNNNNNNNNNNNNNNNNNNNNNNNNNNNNNNNNNNNNNNNNNNNNNNNNNNNNNNNNNNUAGGACACCUAAGGUUAUUAAGGAUUUCAAGACUCCUAUAAUUCUUGAUUCAUCUGAAUCGGUCUAGCCUACGUAUGGAUAUUCCGUUCAUCAAAACCAUCAAUGUACGGGAGUUCAACAGAAUGCUUUUUUACAUUCCAAAAAGCAGAAGGCAAAUUAGAACAAACUUCAUUUUCAAAUUUUCUUUGGAGGGAAUCAAUCUUAGCCACCAUUCCCGGGGUUUUUAAAGUUUGUUUAAUUUGUUCAAUCUUUAUUUCUUCUUUGAGAAAUGAAAUAUGAUUAGAAAGGCGAUUAAUUUUAAAAGGGUUUUUAAAGUUUGAAUAAUUUGUUCAAUCUUUAUUUAUUCUUUGAGAAAAGAAAUAUGAUUAGAAAGCCGAUUAAUUUUAAAAACAAUAUUAUUUUUCAAAAACAAACUUUCUUCAGGAGAAAGGGAUUUAACAAAUGUGAAAAACACCUUUUGACCAAGGACACAUGCAUGAAUGCCAUUUAAAUCAUCAGUAUAUGGUUUUAAUUGAUUUAUGAAAGGCAGACCAAGAAUAAUAUCUUCAUUAAUAUUUUCAGUAAUUACAAAAUCGUUCGUAAAGCAAAUAUUAUUAUAAAAAAUAUGCGCUUUAGACAAUUUAUAAUCUAUUUUCGUUCGCUCUCCUGUAGCGGAAUACAAACGAGUAGUACCUUUCUCAAGGUACUUAUGAGGAAUGAGGCCUUUCACAAUACAAUUGCGACCAGCUCUACUAUCAAACAAUGCAAUCUUGUUAAGCACAAAGUCUUUAGCAAUUACUAAUUUAAUAGGAAUAUGCUUACUGAGAGAUUUAAUGGUGGACACAGAAGGAUUUGCUUCUUCAAGAAGACCGAGAUCAAUUGAUUCUCCAGGGAAGUUAGAAGUAGGUUCUAGUUCAGAAAAAGAAACAGAUUUUCCUUUAUUUGUUGCAGGAACUUAUCUAAGAACUUGAGAAGUAAGGUCCUCAAGCUCAAUUUUCCUUUAUCUGUUGCAGGAAAUUCUCUAAGAACUUGAGAAGUAAGGGCCUCAAGCUCAAUCUUAUCAAGACGAGACUUCAUAUCUCUGACCUCCUGCUUAAGGGAAUUCAUUUAUCUACGCAAGUCAGAGACAGAGGGCUCAGCAGGUUUAUCGAACCUAGAGAAAACCUGGUUCAUACUAAAAGGUUCUAUGACCUUAGAAUGAGAAGGUUUCUUUUGGUCUGAAUUAAGGAUAAUCUUCUUAAGUUCAGCAAGGUACCUAGUUCUAGACUCAUCAUCCUUGAUGUGGUCAAUGAUAUCAAAGAGAACUUCUUUAGAAUCCAUACCUGGAUCUAGACUCAUCAUUCUUGAUGUGGUCGAUGAUAUCAAAGAGAACUUCUUUAGAAUCCUCAGUAAUCGUACUAACGGUAUUUGAAUUACAAUCACAGAAAAUACCUACGCACGAUCCUUCACAAGAGUCAUCCUGUUCUAAUUGACUCUCAUCAAUCUCAUAUGCGACAUUGAUAUUCUCUUCAUCACUAUAUUUGUCCGAAGAGGUAUUAUUAGAAGCAGAAUCACUCUCUCGAGGAUAGAAAAGAGUUUUUCCUUAGUAUCAUCAUCUAAUCCUAAGAGAUUAAUUUUCUUCUUCUUCUUAGAAGACAUACACUGGUUGGCUCUAUGUCCAGACUUACCACAAUUCCAACACAUAUCUUCUUUAUGGGAAGGUCUACGAUUCCUGAAUUUCUUCUUGGGUUGGUCGGACCUGUCCUUAGAAGUAUUCUUUCUAGGUCUCCUAGAUUUAUACAAAGACUUCUUAGAUUACUUCUUGGCCAUCUUAGAAGGGGGAGGAUCUACAUUACUGAACCCAAAAUCACGGCAAAAACUGCCUAAUUCGGCUCUAGAUGUCAUCCUAUCUUUCUUAAGGGGACCCUUUAGCUUGAGGUCAGUACACAGUUCUAAAGUUGUGGUAUUAAUAAGGCUAAUAAUGUCUCCAUAAGUCAUCUGGUCAUAGGGCACCUUACCACCGCACCUAUCUCUGAUUUUUUAUCUAACCUUUUCGGCAAAAAGAGGGGGAAGACCGCUAAUGAAUCUGUCUUUCCAGAAGUCACUAUUACAGUCGGGUCUGGUCAUAAUCUAAAAAGAGGGGGAAGAUCGCUAAUGAAUCUGUCUUUCUAAAAGUCACUAUUACAGUCGGGUCUGGUCAUAAUAUUAACCAUAAACUGAUCCUUAUACCACCUAAAGUCACUUAUUUAGGACACCUAAGGUUAUUAAGGAUUUCUAGACUCCUAUCUUGGAAGAGUUUUGGCUCACCUACAAAGUGUUUAGCAAUGUGGUAGAGCAUAGUGGCACAAGCAUUCUCACGAGUCUUAGAUUCCUGAGUAUCAGGAAAGGAGGGACGUUUAUUAUAAUUUCUCCUAUUAGGAUAUCAGUCAGAAAGUUUAUGAAGAGAGUUUUCAGAAAGAGUGUGGACAUUCUCGGAAGUAGAAGCUUUGACACUCUCGGAAGUAGAAGCUUUAUUUUCCUUGGUUGAGGGAGAAUCAGAAACUGACAAUGCUUUAGCCUUACUUUUGUCAGAGGCGUGAAAGUGGGCUAAUUUUUUGGUAAUUUGUUCAACUAGCUUACCUGAGACGGCAAUAUCGUUGCUGAGCUUGGGGAACAAUUCACGACGAAAUUCAGGGGUUUGAAUAUAGGAUUAGGCUCUAUCGUAUUACAAGUACUGGGCCUAGGGGCACUUAAACUAGGGGACGAAAACACCAACUUAGGAUUUGUUUCCUCGAUCUGAAAAGAAAUAGUGUGCAACAAUUUAUUGGUAUAAUUUUUCUAUUUUACAAUCUUAUCAACAUUUUCAUUAGAGGGCAAACUCUGAGGAUUACUGCUUUUGAGCUUGAAAGGAGACGCAGGAACAAGAAUAUUGGAAUGAGGAAUUUUAAUUCCCUCAAGCGGGGGAGUGACAGAGUUGACGACCUUGCUGGACUGAGUAUACCACUUAUUAACAAGGACUUGUAAUGACUCAUUUUGGUCAUCUAACUUUCCAGUGAUUUCAAGCCAUCUGAAGAAUUCGAUAUCACACUUUAAACGCUUCAUAUCUAAAAUCCACUGUUUUCCAAAAAGAGCCUGCUGACUCUGAGAAUAGGUAGCACCAUACCUUUUGACUUUCCACCUAUUGUUAGGGUCAAGCCAAAGUUUUUUCAAAGAAGUAAGAUCAGGGGAAUAAUCCUCUUCUACAGUAAUAACACCCAAUCCAGGGUCUGAAUAUUGCCUUGGAGGCUCCAUAUCAGACUCUGUGGGACUAGAAGAUUCCUGGAUCUGAGGUUUAUAAAACACUUUUGGGAUUUCUCCCGAAAAAUCUACACCAUCAACUUGACUUUUGUCAGCUGACCUAAAAGAAUAAGAAAGAUUAAAUACUCCCUCUGGGGGCUUUGAAAAGUAGAACCAGCGGUGAAACUUCUACGAGGUCUGGAGUCCAGAAAUUUAAGAUACAGAACCAUCGGAAUUAUUAAUGAUAUGCUCAAUCUGACGUUUCUCAGUGUGAGAGGAAACACGUUGGAUAAUAGCCUUGAAAUGCCAAUUUGUAUUGGCCUGGAGGUCAUUCCACUUGAGAAGGCGAGGAACAAAGAUUGUACUAUGUUCAUGGUUAGCUUCCAUUAAUAUAGUCACACCUUUGGUACUCUCUAUCCUAGCUCUAGGAGCAAGGGAAGUUGCCAUCAACCUGUAAUAGACUCGAUAUAUAACAGCUAACUCACGAGUUUUUGAUUUGCUGUUCAUAUUUAUAGUUUUAAUAUUAAGAGUUAAUGUAUCCAACACAUUAGGAUCANNNNNNNNNNNNNNNNNNNNNNNNNNNNNNNNNNNNNNNNNNNNNNNNNNNNNNNNNNNNNNNNNNNNNNNNNNNNNNNNNNNNNNNNNNNNAGUUGAAAUAAACAGGGCCACCUGCUAAAUUACUUUCAAGAGCUCCCAAUAAAGAAUCAUCAAAAUUAAGAAAACGUGCAUCACGUAACAGUGCACAACAGGAAUAUUAAGUCCUUUUCUAAAUAAAGGAUUAAUAGCAAUUUGAACAAGACCAAUAUGCAAGUAAUUAAAAUUAGAUCUAUAUCUUAUUAUAUCUUGCUCAUUCAACAAUUUUAUAACUUCUAAGAGUUAUUAAUUACAACACUUGAUUCACAUGUUUUAAUAUUAUGAUUCUUAAUUAAAAUAAAAUGACCUAUCUGGUAGAUCUUAUGAAAAGGUUCUUCAGGGAUACUCCAGUUAUCCAAAUUAGACUCAGUUAAUGCAAUAUGAGAUGCACGAGAUGUUAAGUUAAUAGUAUUCAAGAUAUUUUGAUUCAUUUAAAAAAAUUACUGUCCUGGAACCUAUACUAAUGCAAAUUGAGAAGUACGAGAUGUUAAGUUAACAGUAUUCAAAAUAUUUUGAUUCAUUUCAAAAAAAUUACUGUCGUGGAACCAAUACUAAUGCAAAACAACGUAUCCAAAUAAUAUAUCCAGAUUAUGCAAAUACAAGAAUUACAAAAGCCAAAUUAUUAUUAAGUUUUAGAUCUAAUUAUCAAAGGUUCAUAAGGAUCUACAUGUUCUCUUGGCUUUACCUCAUCUCUCUCUAGAGUUAUCUAGGCUACGGGAACACCUAAAGGUCCCAACAAAACGCCUAACUCGGCUUACAAGGACCACAGGGACAGGCUUGCCAACGUAUGCUCCGGGGAUUACUCGGAUACCUCACACACUUAGAGAGAAAUAAGUACCUCACACAAAGUAGAUCAAUUAUAAAACAAGAUAAAAAGAUUUAACACUUAUAAAUAAUUUAAGCAUACUACUUCAAGUAUUUAGCAUAGUAACAUAGUCAUGGAAUUGUUUUGCAAAAGCAUUGAGCUCCGGACAGUAUAUGUGUUUAGUUGCUCAUGUUAAACAUAUAAAUUGUCUUUGCAAAAGCAUUGAGCUCCGGACAGUAUAUGUGUUUAGUUACUCAUGUUAAACACAUAAACAGCCAUCAUGGCUCUGAUACCAAAAGAUGACAUGACCGAAAAUUAAACACUUGUAAGUAUAUAAAAAUAUGAACAAAUGAAAAGAUGUUACUUACAAAACCAACUUUUUAUUUAAAAGGAGAAGGCAAGGCUGGAAGAUUACAAGAUGUUAAGUUAACAGUAUUCAAAAUAUUUUGAUUCAUUUCAAAAAAUUACUCUUUUGGAACCAAUACUAAUGCAAAACAAUGUAUCCAAACAAUAUAUCCAAAUUAUGCAAAUACAAGAAUUACAAAAGCCAAAUUAUUAAUAAGUUUUAGAUCUAAUUAUCAAAGGUUCAUAAGGAUCUACAAGUUCUCUUGGCUUUACCUUAUAUCUCUCUAGAGUUAUCUAGGCUAUGGGAACACCAAAAGGUCUCAACAAAACGCCUAACUCGGCUUACAAGGACCACAGGGAUAGGCUUGCCAACGUAUGCUCCGGGGAUUACUCGGAUACCUCACACACUUAGAGAGAAAUAAGUACCUUACACAAAGUAGAUCAAUUAUAAAACAAGAUAAAAGAUUAAACACUUAUAAAUAAUUUAAGCAUACUACUUCAAGUAUUUAGCAUAGUAACAUAGUCAUGAAAAAGUAGAUCAAUUAUAAAACAAGAUAAAAAGGUUUAACUUAUAAAUAAUUUAAGAAUACUUCUUCAAGUAUUUGGCAUAAUAAAUUGGUCAUGGAUUUGUCUUUGCAAAAGCAUUGAGCUCCGGACAGUAUAUGUGUUUAGUUGCUCAUGUUAAACACAUAAACAGCCAUCAUUGCUCUGAUACCAAAAGAUGACAGGACCGAAAUUUAAACACUUUUAAGUAUAUAAAAUAUUAAUUUAAACACUUGUAAGUAUAUAAAUUAUGAACAAAUGAAAAGAUGUUACUUACAAAACCAGCUUUUUAUUUAAAAGGAGAAGGCAAGGCUGGACGAUUACAAGAUUCAGAGGUAAAGAGAAUUUUAGAGAAACUAAAAUUGCGACUAACCUCAAACGAUACAAGUGAGAGUCUUCUAUAGACCUCAGAUAAGGUAAAAGCAUCUUAUGCUUACAGGUGGACGGCUAUUAUUUUGCCGACAAAGUGUGGGUCCCUAUUGAUUAAGACUAGACUCGUACAGCAAAGAUCCCAUCUGAGUGGAAGGCAUAUUUUGACUUAUUUCUCAUGCUUAUCUAUUCUUUAAUAAAGUAAGCAUAUACAAGAAAAAAGUGGGCAUUCCCACUAUAAUUAAUUUAAGACAAGGCCAUGUGCUUGGCCCUACUCGGAUUCCUUUUAGGAAUAGUAAAACGUCCUUUGGAGAAAAGUAAUUCCAGUUCUUUGAACCUAAGGCCAUGUGCUUGGCCCUACUCGGAUUCUGUUUAGAAAUAGUAAAACAUCAUUUGGAGAAAACUAAUUCCGCUUCUUUGAACCUCUACUUUUAUUCAAGGGCGAGAAUUCCUAUUCGUAAUAGGUAUCCAGGUAAGCAUGUGCUAUGCCUUUAGGACAACACAUAUCAUCAUUACUUGAUUCGGUUGAGGAGGCGGCUUCUUCAAUGAGCUGCAACAAAGUGGCUUCAUCCUGAUGUUCGAUAUCUUGAAGGGUUUGUUGAAGCUUCUUCUUGAUCUCGGCUUUGGAUGACUUUGACGAAGAGGACUGAGCAGUAGCUUUCUCCUUCUUCAGAGUAGGAGUUUUGGGUUUUGGAACCCAACCUUUAACUUUUAUCUCUAUGGAUAGAUACCUGAUACGAUCAAAUUCUGGGAUCUUAAAGUCCCAGCUGAUAAUAUAAGAAUCCAACCUUUAACCUUUUUCUCUUUGGAUAGGUACCUGAUACGGUCAAAUUUUGCGAUCUUAAAGUCCCAGCUAAUAAUAUUCGAUAUCCUUUUUAGGACAUAAUAUUUACACAUAUUAAUAUGAGUAGGAAACGUAGUUAUCUCCUGCUUGGUUUGGAACUUAUCAAACUUUUGCAGAAAAUGUUGAGGGAGGUUUUCCAAUUUUCCUCCGAAAGCUUUCAACCAAUCGUAAAACCACCUAGGAAUAGUGGUCUUUACUAGCUCAGGGCCAUAUUUAACAAACCAAGUGUGACUCGGCCUAAGAUACAUGAAAUUGUACCAUGCUUGCUUGUAGAUGUACCAGUUAUAUGUCUGAGGCUUGUGACUCAUGCUCAGAGGUACAUGAGUGAGUAGAUGGUCCACAUGCCAUUCAAACGGGGAGAGGAUCUUCUUAAUGGUGAAUUGGGACUAUAGGAUAAAAUCUGAAUUUCUUUCAGAAUAAACAUGUUCGAUUUCUAUGGAAUCGGUAUCAACUAGAAUAGCCUCAAAAUAGAGGCAAGUAUGUAAAGAAUCAGGACUAUCUACGUAGUUUCAAUUGUUGUAACAAGGUUUUACUAAAUCUUGAACCCUACCAGUUUCGAAUUCUUUAUCGAGGGCCAAAAUAGGGAAAACUCUACUGGUUAGGUACACGAAAGGCUCUUGUGCCUGAGAGGAAGGACUCCAACCUUUGGGUCCACAGCCUGGGCGAAGGACUCAAGGGUCAUCAUCUCGUAACUCUGUUUACUUUGGACCUUGGAAGCAGAUCCAGACGAGGGCUAGGCCUGUAGGUACAAAAGGUCUAGCGGACGAAAGCUGCCUUUCGGGUCUCUUGUGCCUGAGAGGAAGGACGUUGGACCUUCGGGUCAACAGCCUGGGCGAAGGACUCAGGGGUCUUCAUCUCGUAACUCUGUUUACUUUGGACCUUGGAAGUAGAUCCAGACGAGGAUUCAGGUUUUGGGCCUGUAAGUUUGGGGAUGUCUCCAAGGACAGUAAAUUUGUUUUGAGAUGGGCUUUGGGCCGGACUAGGUAAAAUUUGUUUACUAAAUCAUCUUGAAAUUUAGUAAUACAUAGUACAAUAGACAAAACUUCCUUUUUGACUGUACUAUAAUUUUUCUUGGUAGAAUUCCAGACACCAGAAGUAAACCUCACAAGUUGCUCACAACUAUCCGGGUUGACGCGCUGUUUAAGGAUGCCUCCAUAUCCUAUAUCAGAAGCAUCUGUUUCUACUAUCAUAAAUGCACGGGUUGACGCGCUGUUUAAGGAUGCCUCCAUAUCCUAUAUCAGAUGCAUCGGGAUUAGGUAUCCGUAGACAAGGAAGAUAUUGAACUAAUCUCUUAAUUCUUUGGACACUCUGGGUCUGUUCUUCUCCCCAAGGUGCUGGGUUUUUUAUAAGCCUAUAGUAUAAUGGCUCACAGACUUGCCUAAUCUUUGGGAUGAAAUCAGCAACAUAAUUAAGACUUCCUAAAAAUCUCUGAAGCUGAGUUUUAUCCUUAAUUUCAUCACGGAAUUUAGAAGAGAAUUCCAUGGCUCUACAAAUAGGCCUAUGGGUACCUUGAUAAAGAUCAUGACCUAAGAAUCUAAUCGAGGUUUGAAAGAGCUCAAUUUUCUUAGCACUAAGAACCAAGCCAUUGUUUUAUACAACAUUAAAGAAAGCAUUGAGAUGUUUAAAAUGAGAAUCAAUGUCCUCAGAAAAAAUCAACACUUCAUCAAUAUAAACUAUUGACAUAUAAUAAUAAGGAUUAAAUACGCUAUUCAUAAUAUUUUGAAAUUCAGAAGGCGCUUUUUUUAACCCAAAUGGCAUAACAUUCCAUUCGUAAUGCCCAAAAGGAACAUUCAAUCCAGUUUUAUACCCAUCUUCAUUCUUAAUUUAGAUUUGCCAGAAUCCAAACUUCAUAUCGAACUUACUAUAAAGGUUUGCUUUAUAAGUUCGUUUAAGAAAAUCUCUUUAGUUGGGGAUUGGAUGGCGGAUCCAUUUGAGGAUAGAGUUCAGGGGCAUAUAAUUAUAUACAAGCCUGGGUGCUCCUCUUUCUUUCUCUGCACUAUUGUUAACAUAGAAUGCAGAGCAACUAUUCAGGGGCUUAUAAUUAAUUACGAGCCUGGGUGCUCCUCUUUCUUUCUCUGCACUAUUGUUUGCAUAGAAUGCAGAGCAACUACAAGGAGAGUUAGAGAGGCGGAUUAUACCAUUAUCAAGCAAAUGGUUAAUCUCAUUUUUGCAAACCUCCAACAUCUCUUGAUUCAUAUGAAUCGGUCUAGCCUUUGUAGGGAUAUUCCGUUCAUCAAAACCAUCAAUGUACGGGAGUGCAACAGAAUGCUUUUUUACAGUCCAAAAAGCAGAAGGCAAAUUAGAACAAACUUCAUUUUUAAAUUUUCUUUGGAGGGAAUCGAUCUUAGCCACCAUUCCCGGGGUUUUUAAAGUUUGUUUAAUUUGUUCAUUCUUUAUUUCUUCUUUGAGAAAAUAAAUAUGAUUAGAAAGGCGAUUAAUUUUAAAAAUAGUUUUAUUUUUCAAAAACAAACUUUCUUCAAGAGAAAGGGAUUUAACAAAUGGGAAAAACACCAUUUGACCAAGGAUACAUGCAUGAAUGCCAUCUAAAUCAUCAGUAUAUGGUUUUAUCUGAUUUAUGAAAGGCAGACCAAGAAUAAUAUCUUCAUUAAUAUUUUCUGUAAUCACAAAAUCGUUCGUAAAGCAAAUAUUAUUAUUACAAAUAUGCGCUUUAGAAAAUUUGUAAUCUAUUUUCAUUCGCUCUUCUGUAGCGGAAUACAAACGAGUAGUACCUCUCUCAAGGUACUUAAGAGGAAUGAGGCCUUUCACAAUACAAUUGCGAUCAGCUCCACUAUUAAACAAUGCAAUCUUGAUAUGCACAAAGUCUUUUGCAAUUACUAAUUUAAUAGGAAUAUGCUGACUGAGAGAUUUAAUGGUGGACACAGAAGGACUGGCUUCUUUCAGAAGACCGGGAUCAAUUGAUUCUCCAGGGAAGUUAGAAGUAGGUUCUAGUUCAGCAAAAGAAACAGAUUUUUCUUUAUCUGUUGCAGGAACUUCUCUAAGGGCUUGAGAAGUAAGGGCCUCAAGAUCAAUCUUAUCAAGACGAGACUUCAUAUCUCUAACCUCCUAUAAGAACUUGAGAAGUAAUGGCCUCAAGCUCAAUCUUAUCAAGACGAGACUUCAUAUCUCUGACCUCCUGCUUAAGGGAAUUCAUUUCUCUAUGCAAGUCUGAGACAGAGGGCUCAACAGGUUUAUCGAACCUAGAGAAAACCUGGUUCAUACUAAAAGGUUCUAUGACCUUAGAAUGAUAAGGUUUCUUUUGGUUUGAAUUAAGGAUAAUCUUCUUAUGUUCAGCAAGAUACCUGGAUAUAGACUCAUCAUUCUUGAUGUGGUCAAUGAUAUCAAAGAGAACUUCUUUAGAAUCCUCAGUAAUCGUACUAAUGGUAUUUGAAUUACAAUCACAGAAAAUACCUUCGCACGAUCCUUCACAAGAGUCAUCCUGUUCUGAUUGACUCUCAUCAGUCUCAUAUGCGAUGUUGAUAUUCUCUUUACCUUCGCACGAUCCUUCAUAAGAGUCAUCCUGUUCUAAUUGACUCUCAUCAAUCUCAUAUGCGACAUUGAUAAUCUCUUCGUCACUCUAUUCGUCCGAAGAGGUAUUAUUAGAAGCAGAAUCACUCUCUUGGAGGAUAGAAAAGAUUUUUUCCUUAGUAUCAUCAUCUAAUCCUAAGAGAUUAAUUUUCUUUUUCUUCUUAGAAAACUUACACUGGUUGGCUCUAUGUCCAGACUUACCACAGUUCCAACACACAUCUUCUUUAUGGGAAGGUCUACGCUUCCUGAAUUUCUUCUUGGGUUGGUCUGACAUGUCCUUAGAAGUAUUCUUUCUAGGUCUCCUAGAUUUAUACGAAGACUUCUUAGAUUUCUUCUUGGCCAUCUUAGAAGGGGGAGGAUCUACAUUACCGAACCCAAAAUCACGGCAAAAACUGCCUAAUUCGGCUCUAGAGGUCAUCCUAUCAUUUUUAAGGUGACUCUUAAGCUUGAGGUCAGUACACAGUUCUAAAGCUGUGGUAUUAAUGAGGCUAAUAAUGUCUCCAUAAGUCAUCUGGUCAUAGAGCACUUUACCACCGCACCUAUCUCUGAUUUUUUAUCUAACCUUUUCGGCAAAAAGAGGGGGAAGACCGCUAAUGAAUCUAGCUUCAGGUCAGUACACAGUUCUAAAGCUGUGGUAUUAAUGAGGCUAAUAAUGUCUCCAUAUGUCAUCUGGUCAUAGGGCAUCUUACCACCGCACCUAUCUCUGAUUUUAUAUCUAACCUUUUCGGCAAAAAGAGGGGGAAGACCGCUAAUGAAUCUCUCUUUCCAGAAGUCACUAUUACAGUCUGGUCUGGUCAUAAUCUUAACCAUAAACUGAUCCUUAUACCACCUAAAGUCACUUAAUUUAGGACAUCUAAGGUUAUUAAGGAUUUAGUCACUAUUACAGUCGGGUCUGGUCAUAAUCUUAACAAUAAAGUGAUCCUUAUACCACCUAAAGUAACUUAAUUUAGGACACCUAAGGUUAUUAAGGAUUUCUAGACUCCUAUCUUGGAAGAGUUUUGGCUCACAUACAAAGUGUUUAGCAAUGUGGUAGAGCACAGUGGCACAAGCAUCCUCACGAGUCUCAGAUUCCUGAGUUUCCAUACCACUGUUAGUUUUAAUAGUGGUAAUGAUCGUGGUUGCACUGAGAAUGUGUUGCUUAAGUUCUUCGGUGACAUAAUUAUCCCACCAGUACCUAAGCAUUCCGGUAAAGCCAGCUGUGAUCAUAACAGCUGCUUCUUUAUCGGAGGAACUAUGCAGCUUAUAGCUAUCUCCACACGACGGGCCAUAUUGGCCGCCUCCUGAAAAGUAAUAUCACUGCCAACCCCCACUGCCAUAUGUAGGCGAAUGGGAUGAAUCAAUCCGCCAAUGAACCUCCGGACCCUCACUCGAUCAGUAGGGAGUAUCACUACUGCAUGGCGUGCCAAGUCAACAGUCCUGGUCUCAUAUUGUGCAACUGUCAUAGAACCUUCAUGAAGAUGCUCAAACUGUCUACGAAAUGCCUCCCGCAAAGUGACGGGGAGAAACUUCUCCAAAAAUAACUCUGCAAACUGAUCCAUGUCAAAGCUGGGGACCCUGCUGGUCUAGACAGACAAUAAUCUCUCCACCAAGUCUUGGCNNNNNNNNNNNNNNNNNNNNNNNNNNNNNNNNNNNNNNNNNNNNNNNNNNNNNNNNNNNNNNNNNNNNNNNNNNNNNNNNNNNNNNNNNNNNNNNNNNNNNNNNNNNNNNNNNNNNNNNNNAGUCGACCCCAUUGGUCUCCACUAUCCCCAUAGUCCUGAGGAUCUCAUGACAACUGAACAGAAAAUCCUGGGGAUCCUCCGAUGAAGCACCGCUAAAGUGGUAGUGAAAAGCUUGGAGAACCAAUCAAGUCUCCACAAAGCAUCCGAAAUCAUGGCCGACCCAUCUCCGACCUGAGAUGUAAUACUUGUCUGAGCCACCACUGCGGGAAGAACCAAGGGAACCUGAGUCUGGGGAGCUACCUGCUCCGGAGUACGUGUAGCAGGAGUCUGAAGCCCUCCUCCAGCCUGAGAAGUGGCUGGUUCUACUGGCACCAAUUCCGCUCUAGCCAUACUAUCUAUAAAGCCUGUUAUGCAGACAAGGGCAUCCUGAAGAUCCGAAGAAAACAUCACUCCUGCUGGGCCCACUGGAGCUGGUAGAGCUGGAACCUCCUAAUCAAAGUCAAUAUGAGACUCCACCUGGAACUGCUGCCUGGGGCUGAGCUCUGCCCCUGCCACGACCUCGGCCCUUGCCCCUUGUGGGAGCUGCUGUUAGGGGCUCGGGCUGUUCCGCGGAAGAAGAAGACGCAUGUGUUCUAGCCAUCUACCAAAGAACAGAGUAUAACAACAAUCAAUACUUGAGAAACAAAAUCGCACAACAAGAAUGAACAAAGUGAAACUUUCCUAACUCAGUAGCCUCUGGGGUAAAUACAGACGUCUCUGUACCGAUCCCUCAGACUCUACCGGGCUUGUCCGUGAGUUGUGAUAUCCAAGUAACCUAGUGCUCUGAUACCAACUUGUCACGACCCGAAUUUACCCACCAUCGGGAGUCGUUAUGGCACCUACUUUCGAAGCUAGGCAAGCCAAACCUUAUAAACAUUUCCAGAAAAUUUCAAUCUAAAACAAAUUAAAUGCUAAAAUAAUUAGUUAAAACAUGCGGAAGACGUCUAAUAACAAUAACGAAAAUAAUAUGCGGAAAACUAAUAACCAAUCUCUACCCAAUAUCUGGUGUCACUGCUCACGGACAACUAAAGAGUGCUAAAAAUAAUAGUCUGAAAGAAGUACAUAGCAUGUCUGUUUGAUACAAUUUAACAAACUGAAAGGGAAAAAUAGAGGAGACUCGGGGCCCGCAAAUGCCUGCGAACUACCUCAGAGCCUCUGGACUGAAGGAUCACUCCCGAUCUAAAGCUGCGGUUCGUAGGCUGGGUCCUGACCUGUGCACAAAAAGGCACAGAAGCAUAGUAUUAGCACAACCGACCCCAUGUGCUGGUAAGUGCCUGGCCUAACCUCGGCGAGGUAGUUUCGAGGCUAAACCGGACCUACCACAAACAAGCUGUACAGAUAUAUGCAAUAACAGAAAGAGAACAAGAAUUUAAGCAAAUAAAAAGGAAAGGGGACAUGCUGGGGGAGUAACCUACCAUAAACAACCUGUAAAGAUAUAUACGAUAACUGAAAAGGAAAACAAGAAUUUAAACAACAAAAAGGGAGGGGACAUGAUGGGGGGAAUAUCAGUUCAAUUAUAACUUUUACAAUUAAGAGAUGGAACUGAAUAGAUAGCAUUUAAAUAAGAGAAUCUAAACAGCCUCUCUGCCCUUUCGGGUAGGGGUAAGGCUCGUCUACAUAUUACCCUCCCAGACCCCACUUUAUGAGACAUUACUAGGUAGUUGUUGUUGUUGUUGUUGUAAUGAAACAACAACUAAUAAAUGAAAAAUAGAAUAAGGAACACCAAUAAGGUAAGACCAAUAAAACCACAUUGCACGGCACCACCCGUCGUGCUUUUACUCUCGUCCUUACCUAUAUAAUACUCCAUCUUGUGGAGGGGAUCAAUAAAUACCACUCCAUCUUGUGGAGGAAAUCAAUAAAUACCACUCCAUCUGGUGGAGAAAAUCGAUAAAUACCACUCCGUCUUGUGGAGGAAAUCAAUAUAUAUCACUCCAUCUUGUGGAGGAAAUAAAUAAGUACACGGCAUCACCCAUCUUGCUUUAUCGCUCCUCCUCCCCCAAACAAUAAUCACAAUUAAUGGGAAAAGGAGUAAACAACAAGAUUAACCAUCCCGGCAGGGGAGAACAAUGCAACAACAAGUCCCGCAAGGGAAACAAUUUAACAACAAGUUCCGGCAAGGAAAACAGUUUAACAACAAGUCCCGGCAAGGGAAACAGUUUAAUAACAAGUCCCAGCAAGGGAAAAACAUCAACAACUUGCAAGGGAGAACAAUGCAACAACUAGUCCCGCAAGGGGAACAAUUUAACAACAAGUUCCGGCAAGGGAAACAGUUUAACAACAAGUCCCGGCAAGGGAAACAGUAUAACAACAAGUCCCGGCAAGGGACAACAUCAACAACUCAUCUCUAGUUCAUUUACUUCUCAUUUUUCACUUCAUAGCUCUUAUACAAGAAUUUAUCUCAAUUGUUCACUUCUUUCACAAUUCAAAUAACAAUUGACAACACGGUCAUGCUCGAGUCGGGCGCAUAGGUAAGCGUCACCAUACCUAUAAACCGACACCACAUAGCACAUAGCAAUUAACAACCUAAUCCUAUUCCCUCAAGCCAAAGUUAGAUCGAACAACGGUCGUGCUAGACACUGGUACAUAGAUACUCGUCACCAUGCUAAUACACCAUACACGAUCAUUUAGCAAAUAGCAAUCAAAUACUCUAAUCAUAUUCCCUCAAGCCAAAGUUAGAUCAACACUUACCUCGACGGCUUCCAACUCAACUCACGCCUCUAGAAUAGCUAUACCCCUCAAAUUCGCUUCAAAACCGGUCGAAUCUAACCACAAUUUACUCAAAUGUACCAACAAAUGCUAGUUAAAUCAAUUUGAAUGCAUAAGAAUGAAAUUCCCAAAGUUUAACCCGAAAAUUUCAAAAAUGCCCCCGGGCCCACGUGGUCAAAACUCGAGAUUCGAACCAAAAUCAGGUUACCCAUUCCCCCACGAGUUCAUAUAUGCAAUUUAUUUUGAAAUCGGAACCCAAAAAUUCCCAAAAUACUCAGUGCCCACGUGGUCAAAACUCGAGAUUCGAACCAAACCUGGUAGUCCAUUCCCCCACGAGUUCAUUUAUGCAAUUUGUUAUGAAAUCGGACCCCAAAUUGAGGUCCAAAUUCCCAAUUUUAUGAAAACCUAGGUUCUACCCCANNNNNNNNNNNNNNNNNNNNNNNNNNNNNNNNNNNNNNNNNNNNNNNNNNNNNNNNNNNNNNNNNNNNNNNNNNNNNNNNNNNNNNNNNNNNNNNNNNNNNNNNNNNNNNNNNNNNNNNNNNNNNNNNNNNNNNNNNNNAUAUGAUAAAGAUUGAAGAAAACUAGUAAAAAUUGACUUACAUUUGGUUUGGGGAUGAAAGGGUUCGAGAGGAAUCGCCUAUGGUGGUUUUGGGUUUGGAGAGAUAUGAAAAAUGAGGUCUGAAUUCGUUUAUGUAACAGUUGUAGGGUUGCAGAUGUCGCAAUUACGACAUUGAUUUCGCAUUUGCCAACUGGGUAAAAUAAAAGAGGACCUCACAAUUGCGAGAAAUAGUUCGCAAUUGUGAACUGGGGAAAAUUGAAAGGAACUCGCAUUUGCGAGAAAAUGUUCUCAAAUGCGAACAGGGAAAAAUAAAAGGGGACCUCGCAAUUGCGAGAAAUAUUUCGCAAUUGCGAACUAGGGAAAAUUGAAAGGGAACUCGCAUUUGCGAGAAAACGUUCCCAAAUGCGGACUAGGGUUGGACUUGUGAAAACUGGCAUUUGCAAUAUGGAACUUCGCAUUUGCUAAGACUGGCAAAGGAAGGGGGGAAUCGCAUUUGCGAUUUUUUAUUCUCGCAUUUGCGAAGAAGCAAUCCAAGGGAAGAGCUCGCAAUUGCGAGGCAGGCUUCACAAUUGCGAAACCUACAGACACCAGAUGAUAAAAAUGCAGCAAAAUGAGCCUAACACCUAUCCGAAACUCACCCGAGCCCUCGAGGCUCCAACCCAAACAUGAACCCAACUUCAAAAAUAUCCUACGGACUUACUAAAAUGAGCCUAACACCUAUCUGAAACUCACCCGAGCCCUCGGGGUUCCAACCCACACAUGCACCCAGCCUCAAAAACAUCCUACAGACUUACUCGUGCGAUCAAAUUACCAAAAUAAUAUCUAAAUCAAAGAAUCAACCUCCAAAACCCAUGAUUUUCAUUUCAAGUUCAAGACUUUCAAAAUUUUCCACUUUUCGUCCGAAACACAUCAAACGACGUACGUUUUCAACCAAACUUUACAAAUAGCGCGUAGCACCCAUUUAAGACUUGCACCGAGUGUCGGAACUAAUCCAAAACACGUCAAACGACGUCCGUUUUCAAUCAAACUUUACAGAUAGCGCUUAGCGCCCAUUUAAGACUUGUACCGGGCGUCUGAACCAAAAUACAAGCCCGAUACUAUCACUUUUGAUAAAUUUCCAUUUCCAAUUUUCUUUAAGUAUUUUCAAAAACAAUUUCACAGAAAAGCUCUGUACUCGGGCCUGGGACCUUGGAUUUCAAUUCCGGGAACACGACCGGGUCCCAAAUUUCAUUACGGACCCUCCAGGACCGUCACAUCAUGGGUCUAGGUCUGUUUACCUAUAACAUCGACCAAAGUCAACCAUAGCAAUAUUAGUAUCAAAAUUCAUAACUUUUAACGCAGAGAUCAAAUAUUUUUACAUAAAAAUCUUCUGGCUUCGCUCCCGGACUGCGCAUACCAAUCGAGGUAACCAAAUAAGAGAUUUUCAAGGCCUCAGAAGUGCAAGAAAAGGGAGAAUUACGGUGCUGACCCAUUGGGUCAUCAUAAUUAAUUAGCAAAUUAGUUAUUUUAUAAAAAAGGAAAAAUCAACAACAAAAGAAACCUAUUUUUGCACCUUUUAAGUUUAGUUUUGUUUUUUGGUAAUUAUUCCUUUAAUUUGGUUUUGUUUAAUUAAUUAUGGUAAUUAUUAUUUAGGGUUAAUUAGUUUAAUUUAGUAGGAUAAUUUGAUUUGGGGAUUAGUUAAGAUUUUUAUUCUAAUUUUGAAAAGAAAAAAAAUCGAAAUAGUUAAAAGGAAAAGAAGUAGAGAAAUAAGAUUUUUGGGCCAUUUCCUUUAAAUUUUUAGCCCAAUUCAAUUAAACCUGCCAACCCAGUCCAAAGGUCUUCCCAUAAUCGGUACCCCCCUCCCCCACGCACACACUUAAACAAAAUGACCAUGAUUUGUCGGCAUCCAAUCUGAGCCGCUGCUUUCCUUCAAAUCCGACGACUAGGAACUAGGCAUUUAAUUACUAUAAGAGUGUCUGAACCUUGUCUCCCCCCCCCCCCNNNNNNNNNNNNNNNNNNNNNNNNNNNNNNNNNNNNNNNNNNNNNNNNNNNNNNNNNCCCCCCCCCCCUCUCAUCGUCUCUCAUUCUUCCCCCAACCUUCAGAGACUCAAGAAUGAACCUUAACUGCCACCCUCAAAUGCUCCACCAUCAUCCGCCGGCGGUGCCACCUUCAAUCACUCCCAAACUAACACCCUGAAACCCCCAUGACCCCCUUAUACUGAAUCCACAACUCUCUUCCCUCGAAUCAUCCUUGAACUCCUCAAAUUUUUAAUCAAAGAUAUGAACCCUAAAAUCCCCAAAGUCCCGGAUUUACUUUUUCUUGAAAAUUUAGGCAUAUGUCGACUUUAUUCCUGUGUUCUUGCUAAGAACACACGAUUAAUAUCGAAUUGGGCCAAAAAUCGAAAGGAUUUGAAGAUCCGACAUUCGCUUCUUACUACUCCGAGUUUGUUUUAGGUAUUCUCUCUUCUUUACCUUUUUGUUAUUUAAUUUUUGUUUCUUUGUUCUUUUCUCAUCUUCUCCUACUCUUUCUGUUAGUUUUCUGAUUUUACUUCCCAUUUUCUUUCAUUCCUUCACACCGUUCUAUAUUUGCAAUUUUAGGUUGUGUUUUAGUUAUUAUUUGUGUUCUGGUGCUAAACUUAGAGGUAUUAGAUUUUGUUUCUGUUUAGGGUCCAAGUUUUUCGAGUCUUGAGACUCUGUAAUUGAAUAUUCUAAAUACUUUUGGGUUUUCAGUCUUGAUUUGAAUUGGAAAUUCAAACGGCCCAAUAGAGAGUUGAAUUGGGUUUUCAACAGAACCAUCAACACUUCGAUGUGGGUCAACUUGACCCGUAUUUUGUCCUAGGGGGUAAUUUUCAGGGUCUUGGGGGUAAUUUAGGAAUUCUAGGGGCAAGGGAAUCUCAGUAACAGACUAAGAAGCUUCUAGGAAGCUGGGUAUUGGGACUAAUAUGAAAAAUUAUUUUUAAACUAAGGUCUCCUAAGCUAAAAUAAAAAUUUCAGAAGGGGAAAUAUUAAUUUCUUUGAGGCUGCCCUAGAACCUUGCUGGUAUUAUUUUUAAACUAAGGGCUCUUAAGCUAAAAUAAAAUUUUCACAAGGGGAAAAAAAUUAAUUUCUUUGAGGCUGCCCAAGAACCUUGCUGAUAAAGGCUCCCUAACUUGACAUUCCAGGCAGAAAUUAGAGAAGUAAAAAUCCAAAAGAAAAUAGAACAGCUAAAAAUUCUGAACUACACUGAUUUUCCAGCAUUUCUUUUGAUGAAAAUUGAUCACAAUUUUGUCUAGCUUGGAUUUUCUGGUUCUUUCCCACUAGUUGGAACCUCUAAAAUUUUUAUAUCUUGCACAUUCUGGGGUUGAAAUGGAUUAAAGUUGGGUUUUCAAAGUCUGGUUUAAGUUUGUUGGUUGGUUACUAUUUCAUUGAUUCUGGGCACUAUUUCAUUGCUUCUCUAUUGCUGCUCAUCUACUGAUUUCUCACUCCUUUUGUUUCCCUUCAAUUUUAAGGUAUUCCUAUAAAUCAUGGAUAGCAAAAGGUUGUAAACCUGCAAAUUUGAGUGAAAAUUUUACUGAAUGUGAAAUCAUUUUGAGCUUUGCUUAUUAGUUUUCUUCUAUCUUUAUGUAGCAUUUUUGUAGAGAUUCUAAAGUUAUAUAUGCUAUCUUCAGUUUUCUUUCACCAUGUUUAAUAUAUUUUAAAGACAAAUUAACGCUAAUUGAGGGUGAGAUUAAAUAUGUUAUUUUUAUUGAAUUAUGGACUCUAGUUACUCAGUUUUAAACGAGCUUGAGCGUGUCGGAUAAAGGAGUUGUUAGGGCAUUUGCAUCAGAAGUCCAAUUUGAUGCUUUGAGUUAUGGACUUUUGUGUAGUUUUUGCUAAAUAGCAGUAUUUGUUUCAACUCUUAUGUCCAUUUGAAUUCGUCAAAAUGUUAAGUAUUUAUUUAUAUGUUUGUGUUAAUUUACCCAGAUCCUUUUUUACAAGCAUGAUCAUUUUGGAGAUAAGUUUAGAAUUAUUUUGAAACUAGUUGGCAUGAUGAUCAAAUGAUUGCUUGAUUUGGAAUUUCUUUUUAGUCAGAAUGUUUGUCUACUCAUUUCAUGUUGGAAUAACUAAAAUCAGAAAGCUAGAUAGGUAAUUGAUGUUUGAUAUUUUAAAAUCAGAGUUUAAAUUUGCUAAGUCGAUUUCACGUUCCAAAUUAACAUCAAUUGAUUGGCGUAAUAAUUUGGAGCAUAAGACUGAGCCUAGCACAUGCCAGCUGAAGAGUAGUCGAAUACAGACCGGACAUUUUUCCUCAUCAUAAAUUGGGCUUAGUUUGAGCCCAAAGCUUGACGACAUUUUUAAAGGGGUCUGUUCAGUUGUAUGAGUGAAGUAGUUUCCUUUUGGCCAUUUGGUUCUUUAAUACGACAUGCUUUUAGUAAAUUAGUAGGGUAGAACCUUUAGCUAAUAAUAAUUAGAAUUCCCAUAUGUUUCCCUUAAUUAAUUAAUUAGGUCUUUAAUUAGUUGAGGUAUGCCAUUCGACACAACAAUAAUAGUUUAUGGCCCUCAUACUAAUUUCACAACUUAGAUAUAAAAAUGAUCAAAUGUUCGUAGUUUGCUUUAAGCACAUUUAAUGUACCAUUGUGAUUGUGGAUACGUCCCCGUAACAUGAUUGCAAAUUCAAAAAAUAAAACCAGAGUGUGCGUUCGCUCAACUUCGGCCAAACUUUCUUAAUAAUAAUGAAGCGUUAUUAAUUGUGGACACGUUAACGUGACAUGAUAUUUUACGCACUAAACAAACAGAUACACGUAAGCGUGACCCAUUUCAAGAUAAUUUUCUUAAUUAAAAAGUGGCAAAAGGCAAGAGCACAUAGGUUCUAAAAUGGGUAAUUCAAUAAUUUAAUAAGCCAAGUAUGAUCAAAGCGACACUGCUAGAACCACGAAACUCGUGAAUGCCUAAUACCUUCUCCCGGGUUAACAGAAUUUCUUACCCAGAUUCUGUGUUCCGGACCGUAAAUAGAGUCAAAUAAAUUAUCUCAAGUGGUGACUCUGAUUCUUAAAUAAAUAAUCCUGUCUCGAUUGUCAUUUAAAUUGGAAAUCCCUUAUACCCUACCGGGGUUGUAGGAAAAAAGGAGGUGUGACAAUAUAUAAAUAUCUGAGGAGUAGUUAUUCAUAGCAAUACCCAAUAUUCUCUCUUAGAAGACCAAAUAGGAUAAGGUUUCUUCACUAGUCACAUUUACCUUAAUCAAAAUAGUUUAUACGGAUCUGAAUUUCUCAUCAAGCUAAAAGAAUAUCAGUUAGAGCAUGCUUAUGGGUCCUAGACUACCCGGACUUAAUAUAAUAGUCGCUAUGCACGGAUUCUCGUCACCUAGUACGUACGUAGCCCCCGCAUAUAAUGGAAAUUAAUUUUAUUAUCAAACCUAUGGGGACAAUUCCCUCUUACAAGAUUAGAAAUUAGACUCACCUUGCUCCAACGUGCACUUCCAAUAUGAAGAACGAGUCCAGGCCCUCAUUCGGAGCCGAAAGAUCCCGAACUAGUUAAACAAAGUAAGAACUAGUUAAUAUAGACUCACAAGAUCGAGAUCUGGCUAUUUAAGAAAAUUUCCCAACCAUUAACACAAGUUUCAUAAAAUACGAUCCUGGGCCCACGUGCCCGGAUUCCGAGAUUUUUCGAAGGAAGUUGUUCUCCACAUGCUAAGGAUCAAUAAUAUAUGGUUUCUAAUUUACUCCACAACAAAUUUCGUUGUUAAAUCUAACUUUUAUUAGAACCUUGGGUUUUUGCUCUAACUCCAUGAUUUCCCUUAAUACUACUGUUUAAUCUACCUAAUACAUAAUUAUUAAACUAGAAAUAGGUAGAACACACUUACCUCAAGAUGCUAGGUAAAGUUCUUCUCUCAAAGCUCUAAAAUUGCCUAAUGGAGGACAUAGAACCCCUAUUAAAUGAACCUUACUGCUUCACCAAUUUCCGCAUCUGUUGUCCUGCAUCUGCAAGGAAAGGACCGCAUCUGCAAAAUAGGCCAAAAGAGCUGGGACCGCUUUUACGGUCUGAAGGCCGCAUCUGCGGAGCCAGUUCUGCGAUUCCUGGCCCGAUUGCCCUAGGCAACUUCUGCGAUUCCUAGUUUGACUGCCCUAGGCCGCUUCUGCAGUCUCGCACCUGUAGUCCAUUAACUGCAGAUGUGGUUAUGACAGAAGCAGCAAACUUCAGCUCUUCUCAAAAAAUUCCGAACCGCUCGAGCCUCGUCCGAUUGAUGCUCGGGGCUCCCGAGCCCUGCCAGGACGUACCGACAAGCCUGAAAUCAUGAGAUGAACCUACUCAAACCUUCGGAACACCCGAAACAAUGCUAAAUCUCAUGAAAAAAACAUAUAAACUUCAUAUUCUAAUUAUCCUCCAACAGGCCAAAACGCCCUUGAACCACUUGGAUAGACACCAAAUUAUGCAGGCAAGUCAUAAAUGAUAUUUUGGACCUGUAUCGGACUUCAAAACCAACAUAAGAACCUGAUGCCUAUGAAACAAUCACUAAUUAGUUUCUUUAAAUCCUUAAAACCUUAGAUUAACAAUUUCUAAUGAAAAUUCAUAACUCGGGCUAGGAACCUCGGAAUUCGAUUCCGGGCAUACGCCCAGGUUCUAUAUUUUCCUACGGACCUUCAGAGAUGGUCAAAUCACGAAUUCGAGUUCAUUUGCUCAAAAUCUUAGCUAAGUAGAUUUUUAAAAAAGUUCUAAGGAAUCGAAAGGGCAUAUGUCACUCCAAACUCUUCCAAAUCCCGAACUAACCCAUCCUCCCCGUAAAUUAGCUAAAGCAAGCAUGAUGAGUUUUAUUUAAGGGAACGGGGUUCUAAAAGGCAAAAUGACUAGUCACAUCGUUACAUUCUCCACCUCUUAAACAAACGUUCGUCCUCGAACAGACAUAGAAAAGUGCUUGAGCUGCUGAAUAAAUAGGGGUAUCUGCUCCAUAUGUCCUUCUCGGACUCCCAGGCCGCCUCCUUGACUGGUUGGCCCCUACACUGGACCUUUACCGCAAAAAUCAUCUUGGAUCUCAACUGGUGAUCCUGUCUACUAAUAAUGGCAAAUGGAUCCUCCUCACAGCCCAAGCUCUCAUCCAGCCGAAUAGUACUGAAGUCUAACGCAUGGGACAAGUUGGCAUGAUACUUUCAAAGCAUCACCACAUGAAAAAUUGGAUGGACUCUUGAUAAGCCAGGGGAAAUGCAAGCUCAUUGGCAACCUCCCCAACCCUCCUCAACACCUCAAAGGGACCAAUAACCUUGGGCUCAACUUUCCCUUCUUCCCAAACCUCAUAAUGCCUUCAUUAGCGAGACUUUCAAGAGAACCUUAUUGCCAACCAUAAAUGAUACAUCACGGCGUCUAAUCCAUGUAACUCUUCUGUCUAGACUAUGCUGUAAGAAGGUACCAUAUAAAUUAGCCUCGCCAGGCUCGAACCACCCGAUAGGAGAACGAUAACGACGACCAUAUAAAGCCUCAUAUGGAGACAUAUAUAUACUGGACUGAUAGUUGUUGUUAUAUACAAACUCCACCAAUGGCAAGAACUGAUCCCACUGCCCUUCAAAGUCAAUCACACAUGCCCUAAGCAUGUCCUCCAAUAUCUAAACUGUCCGCUCUGACUGCUCGUCAAGCUGAGGAUGGAAUGCUAUGCUGAGCUCUACACGGGUCCCCAACUCACUCUUAACGGCUCUCCAAAAAUGGGAGGUGAACUGAGGGCCCCUAUCUGAUAUGAUAGAAACAGGCACACCGUGCAAUCGAACUAUCUCUCGAACAUAGAUCUGAGCAUACCCCUCUACUGUAUAAGUAGUCGCCACUCGAAUGAUGUGAUCCGACUUGGCAAACCUAUCAACAAUGACCCACACUAAAUUAAACUUCUGCAAAGGCCGCGGCGACCCAACUACAAAAUCUAUGGUGAUGCACUCCCAAUACCACUUUGGUAUAAGCAUCUGCUGAAGUAGACCACCGGCCUCUGGUGUUCAUACUUAACCUGUUGACAAUUCAAACACUUAGCCACAUACUCCACUGUGUAUUUAUUCAUCCUCCACCACCAAUAAUGUUGCCUCAAGUCGCGAUACAUCUUUGUAGCUCCCUAGUAUUAGAAUACCAUGAACUGUGUGCCUCCUCUGGGAUAUUUUCCCUCAUACCAUCAACAUUUGGGACACAUAACCGACCUUGGAGUCACAAAACACCAUCCUUUCCAAUUGAAAAUCCUUGGCACCUCUCUGAAGCACUGUCUCCCUAAAAACUGCCAAAUGUGGAUCAUUGAACUGCCGAGCCUUAAUCUGCCCCAUUAAUGAUGACUGAGCCACCACAUACGCAAGAGCUCAGCUGGGCUCUAAAAUGUCCAACCUCACAAGCAUGUUAGCCAAGGACUCAAUGUCUAGAGUUAGUGGCCUCUCCGCUGCUGGAAUGAAAUCCAAGCUACCCAUACUCUCUGCCUUUCAGCUCAAAGCAUCCGGGACCACAUUUGCGUUACCCGAAUGAUAAAGAAUGGUGAUGUCAUAAUCCUUUUGUAACUCAAGCCACAUGCAAUGCCUCAAAUUAAGAUCCCUUUUGCUUGAAUAAAUGUUGUAAGUUACAAUUAUCAGUAUAAACCUCACAUGACACCUCAUACAGAUAAUACCUUCAUAUCUUAAGAGCAUGAACAAUCGCGGCCAACUCUAGAUCAUGCAUAGGAUAAUUCUUCUCAUGAACCUUCAACUGACGUGAAGCAUAUGCAAUAACUCGCCCCUCUUGCAUCAAUACACAUCCUAAGCCAAUGCGUGAAGUGUCGCAGAAUACCAUAUACAUCCUCGAGAUGGAAGGCAAUACAAGAACUAGUGCUGUAGUCAAAGCUGUCUUGAGGUUCUGAAAGCUCUCCUCACAGUCAUCAUACCAACAGAAAGGGGCACCCUCAUGGGCCAAUCUAGUAAAAUGUGAUGCAAUAGAUGAAAAGCCCUGCCCAAAUCGCCUGUAAUAACCUGCUAUCCCCUGGAAACUCUUGAUCUCGGUUAUUGAGGUAGGAUGUGGCCAACUCUAAACUGCUUCAAUCUUCUUGGGAUCCACCUUAAUAUCCUCUGCACAAUGUGUCCUAAGAAUGCCACUGAUUCUAACCAAAAUUCACACUUGGGGAAUUUAGCAUAUAGCUUCUGUUCCCUCAAUGUCUGAAGCACUACUCUCAAAUGUUGCUCGUGCUCCCCAGGCUGCGAGAAUAUAUCAAGAUGUCGUCAAUGAAGACAAUAACAAAUGAAUCAAUAUAAGGCCUAAACACCAUGUUCAUCAAAUCCAUAAAUGCUGAUGGGGCGUUAGUGAAGCCAAAGGACAUCACAAAAAACUCAUAAUGGCCAUAUCUAGUCCGGAAUGCAGUCUUCGUCCCGAAUAUCACCUGAUGAUACCCUGUCCUCAAGUCUAUCUUAGAGAAUACUGUAGCACCCUAUUACUCGUCGAACAAAUCAUCAACAAGAGGCAACAGAUACUUGUUAUAGACGGUGAUUUUAUUCAACUAGCGGUAAUCGAUGCACAUCCGCAUAUUUCCACCUUCUUCCUCACGAAUAACACUAGUGCACCCCAAGGAGAUACACUGGGCCUAAGAAACCCUUUUACCAACAACUCCUCAAGCUGCUCCUUUAAAUCCGUCAACUCCUUAGGAGCCAUACAGUACGGUGGAAUAGAUAUAGGCUGGGUUACUGGAGCCAAAUCAAUACAGACAUCAAUAUCACGAUCUGAUGGCAUGCUAGGAAGAUCAGAGGGAAACACAUCGACAAACUCCGAAUUAUUAGAACUGAAUCAAUCGUUAAACAUGCGGUGGUGUCCCGAAUGUAAGCUACAUAAGAUAAACACCACUUCUCGACCAUAUGCCGAGCCUUUAGGAAAGAAAUAACCCAACUAGGUGUAUCGACUGUGGAAACCUUCCACUCCAACCUCGGCAACCCUGUCAUCACUAGUGAAACAAUCUUGGCAUGGCAAUCUAGGUCGGCCUGAUAUGGAGAUAACUAGUCCAUGCCCACUAUGACCUCAAAAUCGAUAAUAUCAAGCAACAGGAGAUCUGAUCUAGUCUCAAAACCACAGAAUGUGACCACACAGGAUUGGUAGAUCUGAUACACAACCACAGAAUCACCUACAGGAGUAAAUACAUGAACAGGAGUGCCCAAAGGCGCAGGAGAAAUACCCAAGAAACGAGCAAAUCGAUAUGAUACAUUUGAAUAAGUAGACCCUGGAUCAAAUAAUAUCAAAGAAUCUCUACCACCAACGGAAAUAAUACCUGUGAUGACAGCUUCUGAGGCCAAUGCAUCUGGCCAAGCCGGAAGGGCAUAGAAUCUGGCUGAAGCGGCGGUUGGAUGGCCUCCACCUGACUGAGCAGUAGCUGGCUGACCUCUCCCUGCCUGACCUCCACCUCUAGGGUGGCACCUGCUAGCUUGCCCUCCACCUCUAGGUGGCUGGGUAACUGGUGCUAAAAUCAUGGGUUACUGACCCUACUGCACUGCCUUGCCCUAAAGCCUGAGGCAGGUGCUUUUCAGGUGACUAACUAACUUGCCCUCCACCUCUAGGCGGCUAGGUAACUGGUGCUAAAAUCAUGGGUUACUGACCCUGCCGCACUGCCUUGCCCUAAAGCCUGAGGCAGGUUCUUUUCAGGUGACCGAAUCUCUAGACUUGUAGCACACUCUCGGUACCGUAGUCUGGUGCUCUAGAGUCUGAGCUUGCUGACCUGAAUACUCACUAGAAGAACAUUGGAUGGAUGGUGGGAGAUAGGAACUUUCUGGCACAGUGCUGAAGUGAGUACUAGAAAAAUCCUAAUAACCAGAAUACUAGCCGGAGGAACCCUAAAUAGCUGGUGGUCAGUAAGAACUUUCCAGCAUUGCACUGAAUAAGGUCUCACUGGAGCACCUAGGGAAGGGGAUGGUGGUGCUGAAUAUGAGGGUCUGCUGGGCUGGCCCCUCCCAAAAUGACCUCUACCCCUAGCUUGGGCAGGGGCACAUUUGAACUCGCCCUCUUGCCCUGCUAAAUCUGCUCUCUACCCCUCAGGCGAUACCCCUUAGUCCUGCGAGCAAUCUCUACAACUAGUUGAUACUCAGUAUCCAUCUCCAUCUCUCGGGCCAUGCUAGCUCGAAUACCGGGGUGAAACCCCGUAACAAAUCUCCACACUCUCUCUAUUUAUGUGGGAAGUAUCAUAAGUGCAUGGCAAGACAACUCAAAGAACCUCGCCUCAUAACCGGUCAUAAACAUCUAACCCUGCUGAAGAUGCUCAAAUUGGUGCCCUAGCUUUUCCCUCUUAGAGGGUGGAAUAUACCUAUCCAAGAACAACUGGGCGAACUGACCCCAGGUGAGGGGAGGAGAGCUUGUUGGCCCGCCUAGAAUAUAGGACUACCACCAUCUACGGGCCUUGCCCUUUAGCUGAAAAGUAAUGAAGUUGACUCCAUGUGACUCUAAUAUCCUCAUAUUAUGCAGUCUGUCCCUACACCUAUUGAUGAAGUGCUGGCAUCCUCAUGUCGCUCACCCCCAAGAUAAGAGGCAGAAGCCAAGUCCAUCUAUUCAAUAACUUCUGCGGAUCACCGUCCGCAGCUGGUCCGAGCGAAGGCGCGACUGAAGCAACUAGUUGGGCCCCAUCUACAGGUAGCUCACCCGGAGUCUGAUACAAUACAGUUGCAUGUCCAAGAGCAUGAGCAGUAGGGGUAGAUGCUCCCCCUCUUGCCUGUGAGGUAGCUGGAUCUAUUGGAAAUAAACCAGCCUAGGUCAUAGAAUCCAUGAACCGAAGCAUACGGCCCAUAACCUCCUGAAAUCCCGGUGUUGUCAUAAAGUAUGCUAGGGUGGGCUCAACUAUGGUCAACUCUCCCUGCUCCUCGAUAAUAGGAUCUCCCACAAGAUCUACUGGUGGUAUUACUGGAAUAAGUCUGUGACGCCCUCGUCCCGUACCACGGGUUGGUGCCCUCCCCUCGCCUCUACCUCGGCCUCGAAAAAAGGGGGGAGCAGCUCUGCCCGGGUCUCGAACAGUGGUCGUGCGUGUUCCCACCAUAUGUGAGAGAAUGGAAAAGGAAAAUUUAGUAUACCAACCACUGCACGAUAGGAAUGAAUAAAGAGUAGUUCUUCCUAAUACCCUAUAGCCUCUCGAAGAUAAAUACAGACGUCUCCGUACUGAUCUACAAGACUCAAUUAGGUUUUCCCAUAAGUUAUGAGACCUACAUGAACCUAGUGCUUUGAUACCAUGUCGUCAUGAACCAUUUACAUAAUAGGUCAUAAAUGGCGCCCAACACCAUUGCUGGGCAAGCCAUCGCUGAAAAUACUAACUAAACUUUCAUUUACCUCUUCCCCGAAAUAGUUGAAAUUAUUCUUUAAGUUGAAAUAAAAUCAGAAAUGAUUAAUAAAGUCAUGAUAAUCAUACCAUCCCAAAAUAAUACAGUCUACUAAUGUGUGUUUCGAGACUCGGUGUCACAAGUUGGGGGCAACUAUUAGAAUAUAUAAAAGAAUCACACUAUCCUACUAUCCAAAAUAGAAUAGACAACAAAAAUACAUAAGAAAGACUUCUUCAGGCUGCUGAAUGGCAUGGAAGGGAAGCAGCUCACCGUAGAAGUCCCGAGUCUGCUCAGGGAUGCGCACCAGACUGAUAGUCAGAUACACCUGCCUCAGAUCAUGUACAAUUAAGUACAGAAGUAUAGUAUGAGUACAUAAACAAUGUGUACCUAGAAAGUAUCCCGUCUAACCUCGAAGAAGUAGAGAUGAGAGGUCGACUUGAUACUUACUAGGGUUAAAUAAUGUGAGAAGAAUGUAUAAUUGGAAUGAAUAACACAAGUUAUUAUCAUUCAAUAAGCAUGGAAUAACAUCUCGCUCCAAAGUAUUAUCAUGGAUCUUUACCUAUACUUCAAGCAGAUACGAAAUUCAGCCCUCAAUGAAAUGCUAACCAAAACAUGCGCAAGUAACACUGUGGGACGUACGGCCCGAUCCAACAUAAAAGCAAAUUUGGCACUGCCGAAGGUCGAACGACUCAAACUAUAGAUGCAUCUAUUACCACGCCCGCGAAUCACCCGUGUGACGCGGUAAAAUAUAAAUAAGCUCACCAACUAGCAAACAAUAAUACGAGGAGUAGUUAUUCACAUGAAUACCCAAUAUUCUCCUUUAAAAGACCAAAACAGGAUAAGGUUCCAUCACUAAUCACAUUUACCUUAAUCAAAAUAGUUUAUACAAAUUCAAAUUUAUCAUCAAACUACAAGAAUAUCAUGUAGAGCACGCUUAUGGGUCCUAGACUACUCGAACAUAACAUAAUAGUCGCUAUGCACAGACUCUCCGCAUAUAAUGGCAAUUAAUUCUAUUAUUACACCUAUGGGGUCAAUUUCCUCUUACAAGGUUAGAAAGGAGACUCACCUCGUUCCAAAGUGCACUUCCAACACAAAGAACGAGUCUAGGCCCUUAAUUCGAAGCAAAACAAUCCCAAACUAGUUAAACGAAGUAAGAAUUAGUCAAUAUAGACUCACAAGAUCAAAUUCUAGCUAUUUAAGCAAAUUCCCCAAUAAUUAACACAAGUUUCCUAAAAUCAGACCCUGGGCCCACGUGCCCGGAUUCCCGAGAUUUUUCAAAUGAAGUUGUUCUCUACAUCCUAAGGAUCAAUAAUAUAUGAUUUUUAAUUUAUUGCAUAACAAAUUUUUUGGUUAAAUCUAACAUUUAUUAAAACCCUAGGUUUUUACUCUAACUCCAUGAUUACCCUUAAUACUAGUGUUUAAUCUACCUAAGACAUAAUUAUUUAACAAGAAAUAGGUAGAACACACUUACCUCAAAAUGCUAGGUGAAGUUCUUCUCUCAAAACUCUAAAACUGCCCAAUGGAGAAGUGAAAAUGUGAUAAAAAUGACAUAGAACCCGUAUUAAAUAAAGCUCACUGCUUCAGCGAUUUUCGCAUCUACGGUUAGGGGACCGCAUCUGCGAGGAAUGGACCGCAUCUACUAAACGGGCUUAAAGAGCUGGGACCGCUUCUGCGGUCUCGAGGUCGCAUCUGCAGAGCAGCUUCUUUGAUUCCUGGCCUGGCUGUCGUGGGUCGCUUCUGCGAUGAACGGACUGCUUCAGCGGUCUCGCACCUGCGGUCCACCAAUCGCAGGUGCGGUUAUAACAGAAGCUGCAAAUUUCAGCUCUUCUCAAAAAAUUCCACUCCACUCGAGCCUCGUCCGAUAGACACUCGAGGCUUCGGGCCCUGCCCGAACAUAUCGACAAGUCUAAAAUCACAUGACAGACCUAGUCGAACCUUCAGAACACCUGAAAUAAUACUAAAUCUAGAAAUCAUCCCUUAAAACCAAAUGAAUCUAACUUAUGAACUUCAAGUCCUCAAUUUUUUUCCAAUGGGCUAGAACGCCCUUAAACUACUCGGAUUGACACCAAAUUUUGCAGGCAAGUCUUAAAUGAUAUUUUCGACCUGUAUCGGGCUUCAGAAACAAUAUACGAGCCUGAUACCUAUGAAAUUAAUCAAUAACUAGUUUCUUUAAAUCCUUAAAACUUCAUAUUAAUAAUUUCUAAUGAAAAUUCAUAACUCAGGCUAGGAACCUCGGGAUUCGAUUCCAUGCAUAUAGGUCCCAUAUUUUUUCACAGACCAUACGGGACCGUCAAAUCACAAAUCCAGGUCUGUUUGCUCAAAAUAUUCACUAAGAUAAAACUUAGCUUUUUAAGAAAAUCCUAAGGAAUCGAAUGGUCAUAUGUCAUUCAAAACUCUUCCAAUCCCGAACCAAUUGUCCCUCCGCAAUUCCUAAAUUAGCUAAAGCAAGCACGGGAGUUUUAUUUAAGGCAACGGGUUCUAAAAAGUAAAACGACCGGUCGGGUCAUUACAUUCUCCACCUCUUUAACAAACAUUCGUUCUCUAAUAGACAUAGAAAAGUACCUAAGCUGCUGAAUAAAUGGGGGUAUCUACUCUGCAUGUCCUCCUCGGACUCCAAGGUCGCCUCCUCGACUGGUUGGCUUAAUGGACAUAGAAAAGUACCUAAGCUGCUGAAUAAAUGGGGCUAUCUACUCUGCAUGUCCUCCUCGGACUCCUAGGUCGCCUCCUUGACUGGUUGGCCCCUCCACUAGACCUUUACCACGGAAAUCCUCUUGGAUCUCAACAAGCGAUUCGAUCUACCAGUAAUAGCAACUGGCUCCUCCUCAUAUCCCAAGCUCUCAUCCAGCUGAAUAGUACUGAAGUUUAAUACAUGGGACAAGUCGGCAUGAUACUUCCGAAGCAUCGACACAUGAAAAACUGGAUGGACUCCCGAUAAGCUGGGGGUAAUGCAAGCUCAUAGGCAACCUCCCCAACCCUCCUCAACACCUCAAAGGGACUAAUAAACCAUAGGCUCAACUUGACCUUCUUCCCAAACCUCAUAAUGCCCUUUAUUGGCGAUAUUUCAAGAGAACCUUCUCGCCAACCAUGAAUGAUACAUCACGUAUCUUCUUAUACGUGUAACUCUUCUAUCUGGACUGAGCUGUACAAAGCCUCUCUUGGAUCAACUUGACCUUGUCCAAGGCAUCCUCUAUCAAAUUUGUACCAGAUAACUUAGCCUCGCUAGGAUCGAACCACCAGAUAGGAGAAUGACAACGGCGAACAUAUAAAGCAUCGUAUAGAGCCGUAUCUAUAUUGUAUUGAUAGUUGUUGUUAUAUACAAACUUCACCAAGGGAAAGAACUGAUCCCACUAACCUCCAAAGUCAAUCACAUAUGCCCUGGGCAUGUCCUCCAAAAUCUGAACUGUCCGCUCUGACUGCUCGUCGUUCUGAGGGUGGAAUGCUAUACUGAGCUCUACACGGGUCCCCAACUCACUCUGAACGGCUCUCCAAAAAUGGGAGGUGAACUGAGGGCCCUUAUCUAAUAUGAUAGAAACAGGCACACCGUGCAACCGAACUGUCUCGCGAAUGUAGAUCUAAGCAUACCUCUCUAGUGUAUAAGUAGUCGUCGCUGGAAUGAAGUGAGCCGACUUGGUAAAUCUAUCAAUAAUGACCCACACUGAAUCAAACUUCCGCAAAGUCCACGGCAACCCAACUACGAAAUCCAUGGUAAUGCGCUCCCACUUCCACUUUAGUAUAAGCAUCUGCUGAAGUGGGCCACCCGACCUCUGGUGUUCAUACUUGACAUGCUGACGAUUCAAACACUUCGCCGUAUACUCCACUAUGUCUUUCUUCAUCCUCCGCCAUCAAUAAUGUUGCCUCAAGUCACGAUACAUCUUUGUAGCUCCCGGGUGAAUAGAAUACCGUGAACUAUGUACCUCCUCUAGGAUCCUCUCCCUCAAACCAUCAACAUUCGAGAUACAUAGCCGACUCUGGAGUCGCAAAAAACCAUCCUCGCCAAUCGAAACCUCCUUGGCACCUCUUUGAAGCAUUGUCUCCCUAAGAACAGACAAAUGUGGAUAAUCGAGCUGCCAGGCUUUGAUCUGCCCCAUUAAUGAAGACUGAGCAACCACACACACAAAAACUCAGCUGCGCUCUGAAAUGUUCAACCUCACAAGCCUGUUAGCCAAGGACUGAAUGUCCAGAGCUAGUGGCCUCUCCGCUGAUGGAAUGAAAGCAGAGCUAGCCAUACUCUUCGCCUUUCGGCUCAAGGCAUCAACCAUAUUUGCCUUGCCCAAAUGAUAAAGAAUAGUGAUGUCAUAAUCCUUUAGUAACUCAAGCCACCUGCGUUGCCUCAAAUUAAGAUCCCUCUGCUUGAAUAAAUGUUGUAAGCUGCAAUAAUUAGUAUAAACCUCACAUGACACCCCUACAGAUCUCCAUAUCUUAAGAGCAUGAACAAUCGUGACCAACUCUAGAUCGUGCACAGGAUAAUUCUUCUCAUGAACCUUCAGCUAACGCGAAGCAUAUGCAAUAACUCGCACCUCCUGCAUCAAUACAUAACCCAAGCCAAUGCGUGAAACAUUGCAGUAUACCGUAUACAUCCCCGAGCCAGAAGGCAAUACAAGAAAUGGUGCUGUAGUCAAAGCUGUCUUGAGCUUUUGAAAGCUCUCCUCACAAUCAUCAGACCAACGGAAAGAGGCACCUUUCUGGGUCAAUCUAGUCAAAGGUGAUGCAAUAGAUGAAAAGCCCUACACGAAUCGCUUGUAAUAAACUUCUAGCCCUAGGAAACUCCUGAUCUCGGUCACUGGUUCACCUAUUUUUUAUUCGUAUUAAAUAUGUGUCCGGUCGGAUAAUUGAUCCGUUUUUUCAUUACCUAUUUUCGAUCCGAACCAUAUCCGACUGACCUGCCCAUUUACCACUCCUAAGUAGGAGUGUUCAAUAAUAUAAUCUCUAAUUUUAAGUAUUAAUUUAAAAUAAGUAAGUUAUUUUAGUAUAUACCAUAUUUUGCUAAGUGUAUUUUUGGUAUGAAGAAAAAACAAAACUGUGUCUACUUCGGGAAGAAACAAGUUUUUUGCACUUCUCUAAAACUACUUUCCAAAUGUAAAAUUGCCUCUGCUUUCGGGUAGAGGUAGGCAUCGGUCGAUUCGGUUCGAUUUUGAAUAUUAUCAGUUUUACCUAUCGGUUAUUGAUUUACAAUUAUCAUAACCCGAUAACCAAACGAUAAGAUAUUGAUUAUCGGUUAAUCAGUUAUCGAUUAUUAUCGGUUCGGUUAUCAAUUUACCUGAUAAGAUAAAAGUACUAAAACAAUUUUGUAAUAUAUAAAACUGCUGAGUUCUCAAUUAUCUUGAGCCAGAAGUCAAGAAAUAGAACAAUUAUCUGAUGCAUAAAUAUAGGAUUACAAAAGUGGACUGGAAUAUGAUUGUAUUACUAAUAAAACAUGGUCUUGUAUCCUUAAGAACAGUUAAACAGAAGUUUACUGCUUAGUAUUCUUAAUAUUCCAAAAGGAGAAGCACUUGUUAAAAUUAAUAGUGGAUAAUGAAAUAGCACCACAAUUAUAUAUUUUUUGUCAAAGCCCAUUUCAUUUAUCAUAAAAUAGAAUCUCCAAAAACGUUUAAAGACUAGACAAACGAUUAGAAUAAGAUCUCAAACAAUAGCAGCACACACACACAACUCAACCCCCAAGCCCACCCACCCCCCACCAAAAAAAAAAUACAGAGCCAGAAUGCUUUCAAACAAACUAAGAAAAAGAUGAAGAUGAAGCAACUAAAAACUUACACGCCGCCCUGAGUCUUGAGGGGCUGACUGGUGAGGGCGUGAUGCGACUGGCGAGUUAUGCCGGCCUAAAUCUUGACGAGAUGACUAGUGACUGGUGAGGGCGUAAGCUGUGAGGUAGAGAGCUGGUGAGGGCGUGAACCGUGGUGAGGUGGAAAACUAGUGAAUUUGGACCGUGGGGAUGUGACGGAAAAAUUGAGAAACUAAGAAAGAGAAACUGACUUAUUGAGAAUUGAGAAAGAAUAGGAAAAACCAAUUAUGAAACCCUAGUAUAGUAUAUAUAUACUUAAGGGUAAACAAGUAAAUUAGUUAAUUCUUAUUUGGGUUAUUAAUUUUUAUCCAAUAACAGAAUUACAAAUCGAGCCCGAACCCAUAACCCAAUUAAAAUUUUUUUAACCCAUUACCGAAUCGUUAAUCCAAUAACCUAAUACUGAUAACUCAAUAAAUAAUUAACGGUUAGCAUUAUUAAUUUUGCCAGACAUAUAUCCACACCUACUUUUAGGAAGAAGCUAUUUUUUUAUACUUCUCUAAUAUUGCUUUCCAAAAAUAUUUUAUCCCAAAAAAAACCUUGGCCAAACACCUGGUGUUUUUUGAGAAAAAAAAAAGUGGGGUUUCCAGUAUUCAAUUUCUCCAUUUUCAGCAGUAAAAAAGAAGCCUCUCAAAUUCCAAUGGCUCCCAAGCCUAAAGACAAACCCAAGGGUUCGCCGCGGACAGUUGACGCCGUUGGCAUCGAAGAUCUUUUCACAUCGCUCAAUCGCCACAUUCAACGAUCCGAGUAUGAACAAUCCGCCAAAGUGUCUGAUCACAGUCAGUUCAAUUUUUACUCGCAUUUAGCGAAUUCAAUGAAUUUGGCAAAUUUAUGACAUUUCCUUAGCUUCGUUUAAUGAAAUUUAAUUAAUUUUGCGAUUUUUACUCGCAUUACAACAUUUUCACUUAUUUAUUCUGCUAUUUUCUCAUGCAUCUGUGUUGGAUUGUGUAUACCGUCUUAAGUUCAAUAAAUUUAAUAAACUUAUGACUUUUCCUAAAGUUCGUUUAGUGAAAUUUAAUGAAUUUUCCAUCAAAGUUUUAUCAAAAUUAGCUCAAUUUUACUGCGAUACACAUUUUCACUUAUUUAUUCUGCUAUUUUCUCAUGCGUCUGUGUUGGAUUGUGUAUACCGUCUUAAGUUCAAUAAAUUUAAUAAACUUAUGACUUUUCCUAAAGUUCGUUUAGUGAAAUUUAAUGAAUUUUCCAUCAAAGUUUUAUCAAAAUUAGCUCAAUUUUACUGCGAUACACAUUUUCACUUAUUUAUUCUGCUAUUUUUCUCGUGCAUCCUCAUGAGAAUUUAUCUUGCAUUACACAUUUUUCAUUUUUUAUUCUGCUAUUUUUCUCAUGCUUCUGUAUCUGAUCGUGUAUACAGUCGUAAAUUAAAUAAAUUUAUGACCGUUCUCUGAAAUUUCGUUUAGUGAAAUUUAAUGAAAUUUUGCCAUCAAAAUUUCCGAUCAAAAUCAGUUCAAUUGCACAUGCAUCACACACGUGCAUUUCCAACAUUCUGGUUUUUUUCUUCAUUUAUGUGAGUUUGAUUGUGUAUAACGAUGAAUUGGUGACAUUUUCUGACGUUGAAGUUUUUUGGAUGAGCAAGCCGUUGAAGUUUCAAAUCAAUGUCAGUGCAAUUUCACUUGUAUUCACAUGUUCAUUUUGAAAUGGUGUUAUUUUUUCAUGUCUGUGUACUUUAUUGUGUAUACAAUGUUGAAUUUGAUGAAUUUGUGGAAUUUUUAAAGUUCCUUUGAUGAAAUUUUAUGAAUUUAGUUUUAUGUGAAUAAGCAGUCAAAUCUCACUUGCAUUUACAUUUUCAUUCUGAAUUCUGCUAUCUGUUGAUAUAUGUAGGUUUUAAGCGUGUGUAAGUAUUUAAUUCGGUGACAUCGUGACACUCUCUGAGUUUAUGUGAUGAAAUAUGAUGAAUUUUGUUUAUAUGAACAAGCAGUCCAAGUCUUUGAUUAUAACUAGUUCAAUUUCUUAUACUUAACAUGUUCAUUUCCGAGUUGUGUCAUUUGUUUGCUUGAUUGUGCAUACCAUCUUGAAUAAAAAGAAUUUGUGAACUUCGUUUGAUGAAAAUUUAUGAAUUUUGUUUUGAAGUUCUUGCUGUUGCGCCUGGAGAUGAGGGCGCAAUUCGCUAUAAAGUGGUGGAGAUGAAUCGUCACUUGCUGUGGCAGUAAAUGACCUCAUCGCUUUGAAGGUCCUAAAGAUGUAUCUGAUGGCCUAAGGAAACUUGAUAAGCUAGUAGAGACAUUAAUCAAAGCUGAUAGUGUUGAAGAAGCGCUAGUUGCUAUUCAGGAGUCCAAAAAAGCUGAUAUUGAUCUUAGCUUUUUCAAGGUAAUUUAUACUUUAUAAGAAACUUUCCAGAUAAAUAUUUACCAUUGAACUCUGCCUAACAUAGCUGGUGCCGACUUCGGAUAAAUGAGAAGGGUUGUUGCAGGUUGAAGUCUAACUAUCAUGGAUCCUAAUUUUACGGGCCUGGAUAGAGGGGAAUGGAUACGUAGACUUUUAAUAGAAAAACCUAACUAAUUCGUGAUCGAAGUGUUGUUGUAACUUCAGUUUAGAGAGCAAUUACUCGAGUUCCCUAACUUGUAAAUUUCACCUGAAGGGAACUUUAAUAUUUGGAUUAUCUGAGAUACUUUAGUGAUCCUAGUCCCAUUUUUUUCUGCUGUGACAUAAAUAUCUGCUAAUAUCAGUUCCAAAACAUUUCGUUUUACAUGAAUAUGGUGUAGCCUUGUAGGUAGAUGCAACUUUCUUUGUACUGUAAAGCUUUAGAAGCUGAUCAGAAAUGAAAAUAAUUGAGUGAGAAAGGCUUAAAAUGGUUAAUCAGCAGAUCAGGUGAUCAAUGACAACCAAGAAAGAGGAUUCUAUUACAUAUCUGGUAAGAGCUUUUAGCUUUAUAAAUUGACAUUGCUCUCUUUCAUAUAAGGCCAAACUAAUUAAAGGUAAAAGUAUUUGAAUGACGUUUCUCUAUUAGAGAAAGACAUACCAUACAUAUAGAAGAGUGCUCUGGUAUAUUAAUAUAUUACUACUUUCAUACUAGGACGCAAUCACUCAUACCCUCAUUGGCUGUGUAAUGUCUAUGGAUAUAUUGCUUUAUGGAAGGGUCAAUAUCCAUAUAAAACAGUGUUGGUUAUUUCACUAUUACACCAGAUAAUGCGCCUAGGAUCCAGAUGCGUUACCUACUUAUUCUCUCCAUCCCCCCAAAAAGGAUCUAGAGUCGCUAUGACUGAACUUUUGGAUAUCGCAGCAGUUGGAUUAUUUGGCGAAGAAUUUUAAGUUCUUGAUGACUUCACUAAAAUCCUUAUAAAAAUUACUUUCUGAAAUAUCUGGUUUCUCAGUGCUUCGCUAUGAAUUUUGUUGUAAGGAGAUUUAGCAAUAUGAUUUUGUUGUUCACCAUUACUGCAUUCCCCUAUGCUUACCAGGAAAAGAGUUUAUUUUUCUUCAGCAAUGGAAGUUAUCUCUUAUGUUCCUUUUCAUUGUGAUGUUGCUCUUUCGAAGGCCUAUUGCUUAUACAGGCAAAAUAAACUGGAUCAAGCGUUGGGGUCCUUAAAGGGGCAAGAAGGAAAUACUGCAUCAAUGCUGUUGGAAUCUCAGUUUUUAUAUCGUUUGGGAAAGAUGGAAGCUUCUGUGGAUAUAUAUCAAAAGCUCCAAAAGUCCCAGAUAGACUCCUUAGAAAUUAAUCUUGUUGCUGGAUUGGUUUCUGCUGGAAGAGCUUCUGAUGUGCAGGGAACUCUGGACUCCAUCAGAUUUAAAGCAACUAGUAGUUUUGAAUUGGCAUAUAACACCGCCUGCUCUUUAAUUGAGAGGCAGAAGUACAAGGAUGCUGAGCAACUGCUAUUGUCAGCUCGAAGGUUUGAAGCUUAUAGUUUACAAGGUCGUGAGCAACCCCCACUUCCAACCGAGAGGUUGUGAGUUCGAGUCUUCCCAAGAGCAAGGUGGUACGUAGGAGAUUUUUGAAACUUAUAGUUUACAAGGUCAUAUAUGUCACCAGCAUGGUAUUUAAGGAUUAGUCAAUUUGUUAAGUAUUGUAUUUAGUAUGAGAUUCUUGUGACAAACUUGAUUUGGAACUGUUACGAGUAAUUCAACAUCAAGAAGUGUUGAAUCAGCAGAGAACAUGUUCCUUUAAGCUGAUUAAUAUAACCCAAGCAACACACUGUGCUGCUGAAGGGCAAUUACCUUGAAUCUAGGAUCUACACUGUGCCUAGUACCACAAGUCUGAAACAAAUAUUAAUAACCGUGAUAAGAGAUUGCCUAUUCUGUUUCCAUGUAAUGCUUGUCUGUGCUGUAUUGACUGUAGGGUUUGGAACUUCCAGUUCUUAAUAUGUGCUUGGACACAGAGGAGAUAACUUGCUAAUUUUGCUGGUGAAAUAACAGAAUUGGUCAGGAAACACUAAUGGAGGAGAAUUUAGCUGAUGAUGAGGUUGAAAUCGAAUUGGCGCCCAUUGCUGUUCAACUUGCAUAUGUUCAACAGGUAAAAUUAUUUUAUAACACGACUUCAACUUUUCUCUUUGCCUUGAUGUGUUGCAAAUACAUGAAUAUCUAUCUGUUAUUCCAGAUUCUAGGAAACACACAAGAAGCUGUUGCAUCUUAUACCAACCUCGUGAAAAGAAAUUUGGCAGAUGAAUCGUCACUUGCUGUGGCAGUAAAUGACCUCAUCGCUUUGAAAGGUCCUAAAGAUGUAUCUGAUGGCCUAAGGAAACUUGAUAAGCUAGUAGAGAAAAGUGAUGGACCACAAAAGUUCCAGCUUGCUCGUGGACUGGACUUGAAGCUUUCUCAAAAGCAAAGGGAAGCUGAAGCUAUAUACACCAAUAGGAUGCUACUGCUACUUCAUUCUAAUAAGAUGGAUCAGGUAAAUAAUCUGAAACCUAAGGCAAAAAAGAAGACUCCGAGCUACGGCUGGUUAUUGUGAGUUCUUCUUUAGAUGCUUAAUUUUAGUUCAUGGAUUAUUACAGGCUCGAGAACUUGUUGCAGUUUUCUGGAAUUAUUCCUGGUAACUUGAUGCCAGUUCUUCAAGCUGCUGUGCAUGUGCGAGAAAAUAAAGCUGGCAAAGCUGAAGAAAUACUAGGACAUUUUGCAGAUAAGUUUCCUGACAAGUGCAAAGUCAUCCUACUUGCAAGGGCACAGAUUGCUGCCGCUGCUGGCCACCCUCAGAUUGCAGCUGACUCUCUGGCAAAAAUUCCUGGCAUUAAACACUUGUAAGUAUAUAAAAUAUUAAUUUAAACACUUGUAAGUAUAUAAAAUAUGAACAAAUGAAAAGAUGUUACUUACAAAACCAGCUUUUUAUUUAAAAGGAGAAGGCAAGGCUGGAAGAUUACAAGAUUCAGAGGUAAAGAGAAUUUUAGAGAGACUAAAAUUGCGACUGAACUCCAAUAAUACAAGUGAGAGUCUUUUAUAGACCUCAGAUAAAGUAAAAGCAUCUUGUGCUUACACGUGGACGGCUAUUAUUUUGCCGACAAAGUAGUGGAUCCCUAUUGAUUAAGACUAGACUCGUACAUCAAAGAUUCCAUAAGAGUGGAAGGCAUACUUUUUGACUUAUUACUCAUGCUUAUCUUUUCUUUAAUAAAGUAAGCGUAUACAAGACAAAAUUGGGCAUUCCCACUAUAAUUAAUUUAAGAGAAGGCCAUGUGGGCCAUGUGCUUGGCCCUACUCGGAUUCCUUUUAGAAAUAGUAAAACGUCCUGUGAAGAAAAGUAAUUCCGGUUCUUUGAACCUCUACUUUUCUUCAAGGGCCAGAAUUCCUAUUCGUAAUAGGUAUCCAGGUAAGCCUGUGCUAUGCCUUUAGGACAACACAUAUCAUCAUUACUUGAUUUGGUUGAGGAGGCGGCUUCUUCAAUGAGCUGCAGCAAAGUGGAUUCAUCCUGAUGUUCGAUAUCUUGAAGGGCUUGUUGAAGCUUCUUCUUGAUCUCGGCUUUGGAUAACUUUGACAAAGAGGCUGAGCAGUAGCUUUCUCCUUCUUCUGCGUAUGAGUUUUGGGUUUUGGAACCCAUCCUUUAACCUUUAUCUCUUUGGAUAGAUACCUGAUACGGUCAAAUUCUGCGAUCUUAAAGUCCCAGCUGAUAAUAUAAGUUUCGGAACCCAACCUUUAACCUUUAUCUCUUUGGAUAGGUACCUGAUACGGUCAAAUUCUGCGAUCUUAAUGUCCCAGCUGAUAAUAUACGAUAUCCUUUUUUGGACAUAAUAUUUACACAUUUUAAUAUGAGUAGGCAACGUAGUGAUCUCCUGCUUGGUUUGGAACUCGUCAAACUUUUGCAGAAAAUGUUGAGGGAGGUUUUCCAAUUUUCCUCCGAAAGUUUUCCACCAAUCGUAAAACCACCUAGGAAUAGUGGCCUUUACUAGCUCAGGGCUAUAUUUAACAAACCAAGUGUGACUCGGCCUGAGGUACAUGAAAUUGUACCAUGCUUGCUUGUAGAUGUACCAGUUAUAUGUCUGAGGCUUGUGACUCAUGCUCAGAGGUAUAGGAGUGAGUAGAUGGUCCACAUGCCAUUCAAAUGGGGAGAGGAUCUUCUUAAUGUUGAAUUGGGAAUAUAGGAUAAAAGCUGAAUUUCUUUCAGAUUAAACAUGUUCGAUUUCUAUGGAAUCGGUAUCAACUUGAAUUGCCUCAAAAUAAAGGCGAGUGUGUAAAGAAUCAGGACUAUCUACGUAGUUUGAAUUGUUGUAACAAGGUUUUACUAAAUCUUGAACCCUACCAGUUUCGAAUUCUUUAUCGAGGGCCAAAAUAGGGAAAACUCUACUGGUUAGGUACACGAAAGGCUCUUGUGCCUGAGAGGAAGGACUCCAACCUUUGGGUCCACAGCCUGGGCGAAGGACUCAAGGGUCAUCAUCGGUGGUUAGGUACUCGAAAGGCUCUUGUGCCUGAGAGGAAGGACUUUGGACCUUUGGGUCCACAGCCUGGGCGAAGGACUCAGGGGUCUUCAUCUCGUAACUUUGUUUACUUUGGACCUUGGAAGUAGAUCCAGACGUGGAUUCAGGUUGUGGGCCUGUAAGUUUGGGGAUAUCUCCAAGGACAGUAAAUUUGUUUUGAGAUGCGCUUUGGGCCGGACUAGGUAAAGGCGGGAAAGAAGGCCUUAGCUGGCCUAGGCCUGUAGGGACGAAAGGUCUAGCGGACGAAAGCUGCCUUUCGGGUUUAACAUUUUUGAACGGGGAGUUAGUCUUGGCUGGCCUCAUGACCCUGAAGAAAGGACGAAAGCUGCCUUUCGGGUUUAACAUUUUUGAACGGGGAGUUAGUCUUGGCUGGCCUCGUGACCCUGAAGAAAUUCACGGGUUAGAAAAUCAGGAAGAGAAUUACUUUCUCCUUUAAUGAACUCAAUUUUACUUUCUCCUUUAAUGAACUCAAUUUUAAAAUCAAAGCUAGAUAGUAGAGCUUGCCAUCUAGCAAAUAUUUGUUUUGAAACAAGAUUUUUUGCUUCUUUUUGUGAAAUUUCCUUUGCAGAUUUGCAAUCAACUCGGAGUAAAACAUCUUUGUUUACUAAAUCAUCUUGAAAUUUAGUAAUACAUAGUACUAUAGACAAAACUUCAUUUUUGACUGUACUAUAAUUUUUCUGGGUAGAAUUCCAGACACCAGAAGUAAACCUCACAAGUUGCUCACAACUAUCCGGGUUGACGCGCUGUUUAAGGAUGCCUCCAUAUCCUAUAUCAGAAGCAUCUGUUUCUACUAUCAUAAAUGCAAAAUUUAGUAAUACAUAGUACUAUAGACAAAACUUCAUUUUUGACUGUACUAUAAUUUUUCUGGGUAGAAUUCCAGACACCAGAAGUAAACCUCACAAGUUGCUCACAACUAUCCGGGUUGACGCGCUGUUUAAGGAUGCCUCCAUAUCCUAUAUCAGAAGCAUCUGUUUUUACUAUCAUAAAUGCAUCAGGAUUAGGUAUCCCUAAAUAAGGAAGAUUUUGAACUAAUCUCUUAAUUUUUUGGACACUCUGGGUCUGUUCUUCUCCCCAAGCUUCCUAAUAAGCUCUGAAGCUGAGUUUUAUCCUUAAUUUCAUCAGGGAAUUUAGAAGAGAAUUCUAUGGCUCUACAAAUAGGCCUAUGGGUUCCUUGAUAAAGAUCAUGACCUAAGAAUCUAAUCGAGGUUUCAAAGAGCUUAAUUUUCUUAGCACUAACAACCAAGCCAUUGUUUUUUACAACAUUAAAGAAAGUAUUGAGAUGCUUAAAAUGAGAAUCAAUGUCCUCAGAAAAAUCAACACAUCAUCAAUAUAAACUAUUGACAUAUAAGAAUACGGAUUAAAUAUGUUAUUCAUAAUAUUUUGAAAUUCAGAAGGCGCAUUUUUAACCCAGAUGGCAUACCAUUCCAUUCGUAAUGCCCAAAAGGAACAUUGAAUGCAGUCUUAUACCGAUCUUCAUUCUUAUUUUGGAUUUGCUAGAAUCCAGACUUCAUUCGAACUUACUAUAAAGGUUUGCUUUAUAAGUUAGUUUAAGAAGAUCUCUUUUGUUGGGGAUUGGAUGGCGGAUCCAUUUGAGGACAGAGUUCAGGGNNUCUGUGAGCCAUUAUACCAUAGGCUUAGAAAAAACCCAGCACCUUGGGGAGAAGAACAGACCCAGAGUGUCCAAAAAAUUAAGAGAUUAGUUCAAAAUCUUCCUUGUCUAGGGAUACCUAAUCCUGAUGCAUUUAUGAUAGUAGAAACUGAUGCUUCUGAUGUAGGAUAUGGAGGCAUCCUUAAACAGCGCGUCAACCUGGACAGUUGUGAGCAACUUGUGAGGUUUACUUCUGGUAUUUGGAAUUCUACCCAGAAAAAUUACAGUACAGUCAAAAAGGAAGUUUUGUCUAUAGUACUAUGUAUUACUAAAUUUCAAGAUGAUUUAGUAAACAAAGAAUUUUUACUCCGAGUUGAUUGUAAAUCUGCAAAGGAAAUUUUACAGAAAGAUGUAAAAAUCUUGUUUCAAAACAAAUAUUUGCUAGAUGGCAAGCUCUACUAUCUAGCUUUGAUUUUAAAAUUGAAUUCUUUAAGGAGAAAGUAAUUCUCUUCCUUAUUUUCUAACCCGUGAAUUUCUUCAGGGUCUUGAGGCCAACCAAGACUAACUCCCCAAAAAUGUUAAACCCGAAAGGCAGCUUUCAUCCGCUAGACCUUUCGUCCCUACAGGCCUAGCCCAGCUAAGGCCUUCUUUCCCGCCUUUACCUAGUCCGGCCCAAAGCCCAUCUCAAAACAAAUUUACUGUCCUUGGAGAUAUCCCCAAACUUACAAGCCCAAAACCUGAAUCCUCGUCUGGAUCUACUUCCAAGGUCCAAAGUAAACAGAGUUACGAGAUGAAGACCUCUGAGUCCUUCGCCCAGGCUGUGGACCCAAAGGUCCAAAGUCCUUCCUCUCAGGCACAAGAGCCUUUCGAGUACCUAACCACUAGAGUUUUUUCCUAUUUUGGCCCUCGAUAAAGAAUUCAAAACUGGUAAGGUUCAAGAUUUAGUAAAACCUUGUUACAACAAUUCAAACUAGGUAGAUAGUCAUGAGUCUUUACACACUCGCCUUUAUUUUGAGGCAAUUCUAGUUGAUACCGAUUCCAUAGAAAUCGAACAUGUUUAUUCUGAAAGAAAUUCAGAUUUUAUCCUAUAUUCCCAAUUCACCAUUAAGAAGAUCCUCGGCCCGUUUGAAUGGCAUGUGGAUCAUCUACUCACUCCUGUACCUCUAAGCAUGAGUCACAAGCCUCAGACAUAUAACUGGUACAUCUACAAGCAAGCAUGGUACAAUUUCAUGUAUCUCAGGCCGAGUCACACUUGGUUUGUUAAAACCAAGCAGGAGAUCACUACGUUGUCUACUCAUAUUAAAAUGUGUAAAUAUUAUGUCCAAAAAAGGAUAUCGUAUAUUAUCAGCUGGGACUUUAAGAUCACAGAAUUUGACCGUAUCAGGUACCUAUACAAAGAGAUAAAGGUUAAAGGUUGGGUUUCAAAACCCAAAACUCCUACUCCAAAGAAGGAGAAAGCUACUGCUCAGUCCUCUUUGUCAAAGUCAUCCAAAGCCGAGAUCAAGAAGAAGCUUCAACAAGCCCUUCAAGCUAUCGAACAUCAGGAUGAAGCCACUUUGCUGCAGCUCAUUGAAGAAGCCGCCUCCUCAACAGAAUCAAGUAAUGAUGAUAUGUGUUGUCCUAAAGGCAUAGCACAGGCUUACCUGGAUACCUAUUACGAAUAGGAAUUCUGAUCCUUCAAGAAAAGUAGAGGUUCAAAGAACCGGAAUUACUUUUCUUCAAAGGACGUUUUACUAUUCCUAAAAGGAAUUCGAGUAGGGCCAAGCACAUGGCCUUGUAUUAAAUUAGUUAUAGUGGGAAUGACCACUUUUGUCUUGUAUACCCUUACUUUAUUAAAGAAAAGAUAAGCAUGAGUAAUAAGUCAAAAUGAUGCCUUCCACUCAGAUGGAAUCUUUGCUGUACGUGUCUAGUCUUAAUCAAUAGGGACCCACUACUUUGUCGGCAAAAUAAUAGUCGUCCACCUGUAAGCACAAGAUGCUUUUACUUUAUCAGAGGUCUAUAAAAGACUCUCACUUGUAUUGUUGGAGGUCAGUCGCAAUUUUAGUCUCUAAAAUUCUCUUUACCUCUGAAUCUUGUAAUCUUCCAGCCUUGCCUUCUCCUUUUAAAUAAAAAGCUGGUUUUGUAAGUAACAUCUUUUCAUUUGUUCAUAUUUUACAUACUUACAAGUGUUUAAAUUAAUAUUUUAUAUACUUACAAGUGUUUAAAUUUCGGUCAUGUCAUCUUUUAAUAUAGUUCAAGUUUCUAGCAAUCAAGUGCCCACCUUGAGAACAAUGGAAUACAAUUUAAUUUUUUGGAAAUCAGGCGCCCACCUGGAGAACAAGUAAUAUAGUUCAAGUUUUUGGCAAUCAGGCGCUCACCUGAAGAACAAGGGAAUAUAGUUCAAGUUCUUGGCAGUCAGGCGCCCACCUGGAGAACAAGGGAAUACUAUUCAAAUUUUUGGAAAUCAGGUUCCCACAUGGAGAAUAAGAAAAUACAGUUCAAGUUUUUGGCAAUCAAGCUCCCACCUGGAGAACAAGGGAAUACAGUUCAAAUUUUUGGCAAUCAGGUGUCCACUUGGAGAACAAGGGAAUAUAACUCAAGUUUCGAAAAUCAGGCGUCCACCUUGAAAAUAAGGGAAUACAGUUCAAGUGUUUGGAAAUCAAGCGCCCACCUGAAGAAUAAAGGAAUAUAGUUCAAGUUUUGGUAAUCAGGAGCUCACUUGGAGAACAAAGAAAUUUAAGUGUCGGUAAUCAGGAGCUCACUUGAAGAAUAAAGCAGCAGUUCAAUUUUCGAGGAAAAGCAACAGAUGUGUUGGUAAUUAGGAGCCCACCUGAAUAACGAGGGGAAAUCAUCAAUGUUCGUUUCGAGGAAAAGCAACGGAUGUGUUGGUAAUUAGGAGCCCACCUGAAUAACGAGGGAAAAUUAUCAAUGUUCGGAGGAAGACGGUUCAAGUUCAGCAAUCAUGCGCCCACCUAAAGAAAAGGGAAAGCAUCUCAGAGUAUAGUUCAAGUUGGCAACAAAGGAACUUCACCUGGAAAAUACAAAACAACAAGGCAACAGGAAUCACUAGACUAAGUUUGAGGAUGUAGAUAGGAUUUUUGUAAUGCAUAGAUUGGAGUUUAGUCUAGCUUCUUUUUAUUUUGUCAUUGUGUAAUAAGGAGUUCAGUAAGCAGUAGUAGCAGCAGCAACAACAAUGAAAUCAUAGCUUUAUAGUAGUCUCAGCUACCGAAACUUCCCCAUAACUUGGUUUCGUAAUUGCCAAGGAUAUGUAGGCAACCUCGGGAACAAGGCGCAAUCAAAUAUUUCAAAAAUACUUUCCACGGAGUAUUCAAACAGGCAAAUCGCUCGUAUCCGCUCUCUUUAUCUUUGCAUGAAAACUCUUUGUAUUUUCGCGCAAAGAGGGGCAGCUGUGAGCAUAUGAUUGUUGCCCUAUAUGAAUUACUCCCACAAAUUUAAAAUAAAAUAAUUUUUCCAUUGUUUGCAAUUUCGAGGAUUUUUGUAGCAUAUUUUGUUAUUGUUUUCAUUUGUCAUUGCAUGUUUAUUUCAUUUGUUAAUGAAAAAUACAAAAAUUUAUUGAAUUUGCAUUUAGAAUUUAAUCCAACAUUUUGGGAUUAAUGUCAC